This 64375-nucleotide long non-coding RNA is filed under the name Arabidopsis thaliana (thale cress). Lineage: Eukaryota; Viridiplantae; Streptophyta; Magnoliopsida; Brassicales; Brassicaceae. The record is from RNAcentral.
AAGUCCUCGUUCUGCAUCCGUCUUUUUUUUUUUGGGUUUGAACCAUAUGACGCCAUAAAGUUUAGACCGUGAGGCCAAACUUGGCAUGUGAUACCUUUUCGGAAAUCCCAAAGAGAGCCCUCCGACCACCGAAGCAGGACAAUCGGUCAAAGUACCAUUUUUUUUUUCCAACUCCAUGAUAUAUUAUGAGACCAAAUUGAUUUGUUUAGACAUUGUUUUAGCAUAUUUUCAUGUAUCAAACUUGAUAUAGCUCAAAUUAUCCUUAAGCUUAAUCCCUCAAAUAAGAGAUCGUCGUGAGCACUUAAGGGUCGAAUUUCAAUAAGCUAUCCUUGCUCACACAAUAAACCUAUGAUGAUUAAUAUUAAGCUAGACAAAGUAACUGAAAGUAACAGACAAGAAAACAUUAAAUCGAGUUGUAAAUUCAGGAAAUUAAAGCGUCAGGUCUAGGGAUAGUCUCAAGAAAUAGAUAAACUAUAGAUCUAGCUAUGACAAGGAUUGUUAUCGAACCGUCACUAUUACAGACUAACUGGUGGUUCUCCUCAUUACUGACUAUGUCUAAAGCUAAGGAUUCCCAACGUUGGCUUGGCAAAAUCCCUAAUCCUAAACAUGCAUGCUAAAUAAGUUUGAUAAGUUCACCUAAGUAAACAUGCCGAGUCUUAUUACACACCUAUUAACCCGUCUCAUCUAUAAUAGUUCUGAUGAUAGAUGUCUUUUAGGGCACACCUAUUAUAUAAGAUCAAGAUUUAGGUGAUCAAUCUAGAACUAGCAGUUAGAAAUAUUAUAGAUGAAGAACUCUAAAAUUAACCCUAACAGGUUAUCGAUUUACUAAUCCAUCUAAAUCCCUAAUGAGACACCCUAAACCCAACAAGGAGACUACUCGGACAUUAUUAAAGAAACACAAAUCAUAAUUUGAAUAAACUGCAUUGAAUUAUAAUAUGAAAUAGAGUAAAAGGAGUUCAAAAUCUUCUCUGUAGGGAUAUGAUUUUUCUCUCUAAAAGUAUCUCUCUUACACAAAACUUGCUUAGGUCUAAACAAUGACCUUAAAAAUAUAUUUAUAUAUAUAGGUUACAAAAAAUAUGCAGGGUCUAUUUUGCAAAUAAGGAAAACUUCUGGGACUUCUUAAAGACUUGAUGAAACGUGGGAAUUCCUUUGUCGAAUAAGGGUGUCGAUCGACAUAGAUGUGGUGUCGAUCUACACCAUUGCAUGAGUAACGUUUCUGGUAGUCUUCUUAUAAAUGCAAAUCUAAUUCCCCAUCCUCAAAUUAGUCCUUCCCAAGGAUUGUUGUUUCAAUGAAUAAUUGUAGGAGUUAUAUCUUGAUAAAAUUAAAAAAACUACAAAAAAAAUCCAGAAUUUUGUGAUUUCUAGGCUUAAACAAAAGGAUUCACAAAUAAAAGCGUUAAUGCUACAAGCAGACCAUAAAUUGUUAAAGCUUCCAUAAAAACCAAACUAAGCAAUAAAGUAUGUAACACCCGUCCCGCCAUAUAGACCAAGACGGCAUGUUUUCAUCUGAUCUUGCCAAAAACGUUUUCUUUGAACUUCACACACGAACAAAAUAUUGCACACAACUCUUCACGCUUACUAACCUGAGGAAAAAGGAAAAAAGGGGGUGAAUAAAGAAUACUCAGUGAGGGGAAUUAACUCUGCCCACUGAAACAUAGACCACUUUGUAAAGCUAUACAACCAUCAUCAUAACAUAUAAACUUAGACACACACAAUCAACCUAACAUGCUUUAACUUCUAAUACCACAUUUAUAAUAAUCAUCUUAUAUAUAUAUAUAUAUAUAUAUAUAUAUAUAUAUAUAUAUUAUAUAUAUAAACAUACACAUCGUUAGGUCAAGUCAUCCCCGUGACGACUAGAACCUCAUGAGUGGAGGCUGGCCCUCAUGGCUCAGACACUCAUAUUCUGGGCUCGUCAGCCGUUCUUGACCAGCUGUUAACCCGUCGGUCCAUCACUGUCCACAUCACUAGGGAGACCACAGCCCAUAGCUCGAUUCUCCUCAGUCUUACAUACAAACAUACAUAAUCAUCAUAUAUACAUACUUAUACUUAACAUUCUCAUACAUAAUAUAUCAUAGUAAGACAUCAUCACCAUACAUGUCAAUCAAUAAUCAUCAAAUCAUAUCAUCACAUCAUCUUAUCCUACGCAAUCAGAUCAAAGCCUACAUACUAUGCGCCAAGAAGCAUAACAAAAGAAAAUGAUAAUAUGUUUCGCAAAUACCACCCUCACCUAAACCUAGUUGAAGAUGAAGAACAUCUCUAUUCUCUUUUCUCUCCUUUUAGACCAACUUACUAUAAGAGCUUUAACUGCAUACUCUUGAGCUCCACCUUGCUUCUCCAUCAACCAAAACCUUACUCCAUGAGUCCUAAAGGUUUCUGCAAAGCUUCAGCUCCAACCGAACCCGUUUCCCAUUCAAACAAUAAAAACUUGUCAUGGUUUACUCCAUACAAAACUGUCUCAGUAACAUACUCAUAAGUCGAGAACUAACCGUUAGAAACGUAAUCCCACCAUUAAAUAUGUAGCCAGUAGUAUCAGAUCGGACCUCACAUGAAUCUCCCACGUUCUUCUGAAGAUGUUGCAUCAGAACUGAUAUCUAGGUUUCUGCAACUUGAUAUGAUUUUGGGCAACCUUUCAAAGUCAAAUACGGAUGGAGCUUAAAUCCGAUGGACAAGAUGUCAGCUACACUGAGUUCCUUGAAGCAAGAUCAUUCCAUAGACGUCUUGAUCGUGAUCUAAUUCCUUUUGCUCCAUCGGGAAAACGCAUCGCAAAGCCAAUAGUCACACACUGUUCUGGAUUUAUACUUAGCCCAGAUUUGGACAGCUUCUGUAGUUACUUACCCAGAAAGAAACACUCAUAACUUCUUGAAUAUAAUCUUGAUUCUAUCUCUGUCAGCGGCUAUGGAUUCUUGACAUUAUGAUUAUUGCAAUGACACCACAUGCCACACUUGAUUCUCUCUGAUUCAACGGGAAAUUAAUCCUGAAAACCUCUACCUGAAACUACAAUGUUUCUCAGAUACUUUAGAAAAAACUGCGCUCUGAAAACUGUGACUAUUCACCAAUUUUAAACGCGAUUUCCCGAUUGAUCUUACAUCUGAUUUUGGAUCGAAAAACUGUUCUGAAAACUUGGGAACGAGAUCUAUUCAGAACCGUUAAGAACUCGCCCAAACUCCUUCGGACGUGACGGGAAACGGAUCACCAAUUCCACCACUUGAAUUGUUUCCUUCUUUCACAUAUUCACACAAAAACUCAAAAGCUAACUUGAUAUAUCUAAUCAAGCCGUUGUUUAAUGGUGAUGAUUCGUGACAUUCGCUUUCACUCCACCCUUGUACGUGAUCAAAAACAAAACCAUACGCUCCAACAACUCCGAUCUCAACGUCAAUGGUGAUGGUGGCUUGGGAUCAAGUUGAUUUGAUGUUCUUAGGUAAGUAAUGAGUUGCUAGAGAUGAUGACGUGAGAAGGCUGCGGGAAGAUGACGAUAUAAGCAUAUAUACAUACACAUGUAACGAAACCUUAUUAUUUUGUGACUUGCUUCACUUGGGCUUCAAUGGGCUCCAUGGACGUUUGUUUUUAACAAAACAAAUAGGGUGGGUUCAAGGGAUUGGGUUUGGGGUGUUACAAAGUACCUCGUAUUUUUCCUUCUGCCUCAGGUUGUCUCACGAUACCUUCGACAGCUUGACCCGCAGUUGUACCUUGACUGACUCCAGGUUCAAUAGAAGCAAGCCCAACAGCCAACCCGGCAACAAUAACCGAAGCAGCAGAAACAUGUGGAUUCAUGAUAAGUUCCUCACACAAAAAUAAAGAAAUAGUUAAUGAUACAAUCAUCCCUUAGGACGUAAUUCUAAUUAAGUAAUCGCUAAGAUUAAUCCAGCCAAAAAAACACAAAAACUUUAAUUGAAAUAUGAAAAAAUAUAAUAAAAUUAUUGAAUCAUAAGAAUUACUUUGAUAGUAGUUCCUAUCCAUGGGAUUUUUAAAAAUCCAUAAUAUAUAUAUAUAUAUAUAUAUACGACUUGUUUAUGCCAUUUUUUUAUUAACCAUUUUUUGAAUUCUUCCUUCUAUUUUUAUCAUAUUUUCAGCCAAUUCACAGAUAAAAAGGAAGAACUUCUAAUCGAAUCCCUAUCUAAAUAUAGAAAUUCACAAAAUAGUAGAGCACAUUCGGAUUAUAUAGAUCUUUAACUAAUAUAUAUAUCUAGGCAAUAUCAAAUAUCACAUAUACAAGUGUUUCUUACAUAAUGUAAACCAACUAUUCUAUAAUUAAUUGGGCUAACCUAAACAAGAAUAUUAAAAAAAACCCAUUAAUGAUGACCUUCCAUAGACUCACCUAUAUAAGCCGCAGCUAAAGUGGCAAAAACGAGAGCUUGAAUCCCGCUUGUAAACAAUCCAAGGAACAUAACAGGUAUAGGAACCGCUAAAGGUACUAAAGAAACAAGAACAACAACGACUAAUUCAUCGGGUAAUAUAUUUCCGAAAAGUUAAAAACUAAGUGAUAGGGGUUUCGUAAAAUCUUCUAAGAUAUUAAUGUGUAAAAGAAUUGGGGUUGGUUGAAUGUAUUUACUGAAAUUCCCUAAUCGUUUUUUGCUAAGCCCCGCAUAAAAAUAGGCUACUAAUGUGAGUAAAGCUAAAACAACCGUCGUAUUUAUAUCAUUCGUUGGUGCUACUAACUCCCCUUGUAAUAACUGGAUAAUUUUCCAGUAAAAGGGCUCCUGACCAAUUAGAAACAAAAAUAGUAAAAACAGGGUUCCAAUAAAGGGAACCCAUGGACCAUAUUCUUGUCCAAUCUGGGUUUUACUUAUGUUUCGAAUGAAUUCAAGCACAAAUUCAAAGAAAUUUUGGCCGUCAGUUGGAAUUGUUUGUGGAUUGUGAAUCGCUAGAACUGCAGAACCUAAUAAGAUAGCAAUUACAACCCAAGAAUUACUAAGAACUUGGGCAUGGACCCGGAAACCCCCUAUUUGCCAGUAGAAAUGUUGGCCUACUUCUACACCAAAUAUCUCAUAUAACCCUUCUUUUAUUAGUGUGUUGAUGGAACAUGAUAAAACAUUCAUAUUGCCCUCUGACAGAAAUAAGAACUUUAAAUUAUUUUGAUUCAAGACCCCCCCCUUUUUCGUUUUGGAUCACAACUAAAUAAAUCACACAAUAUCCCCAGUUUUUUUUCUCUUUUUCUUUUCUACAAUUCAGGAGUAGUAAACGAUUUUUGAAAUCAAAAUACAGGGAGCCCCUCCCUAAGACAAAAUUGAUUUAUUUAUCUUAUUAUUAAUCAAGAAUUUUGUAUAUAGCUAGAACGGCCCUCACAUAUUGCGAAUACUAAUUUGUUAAGAAUGAAUCGAAUUGAAGCUAUAGCGUCAUCAUUUGCGGGAAUAGAAAUAUCCACGAGAUCGGGAUUACAAUUUGUAUCGAUUAAAGAAAUGGUUGGAAUUCCCAAAGUGAUACAUUCUCUAAGAGCCGUCUAUUCUUCUUGCUGAUCGAGGAUGAUUACAAUAUCAGGCAAUCCCGUCAUAUAUUUAAUCCCACCUAGAUAUGUUUCCAUGCGAGAUAAUUGUCUCUUCAACACAGCUGCAUCCCUUUUCAGAAGACGGUUGAAUCCCUCUGUCUUUUGUUCAGUUCUAAAGUCCCUAAACUUAUGAAGUAUUUGUUUUGGUAGUGGACCAAUUUGUUAACAUGCCGCCGAGCCAUUUUUUAUUAACAUAAUGAAACCAAGCCCGUAUUGUAGCCCGCGACACUAAAUCAGCUGCUUUAGUUUUUUGUCCCAACAAUUAAGAAUUGUUUUCCCCUACUUGCCGCAUCAAAAACUAAAUCACAAUCUUCUUAUUAAAAAUGAACAGUUAUAGUCAGAUUUAUAAUCUGAAUACCUUUAUGUUUUGUAGAAAUAUAAGGUGCCAUUCUAGGAUUCCAUUUCCUCGUACCAUGUCCAAAAUGAACUCCUGCUCUCAUUAUCUUUUCCAAAUCGAUGUUCCAAUAUCUUUUUGUCAUAUAUUUUCACAUUUAAAAAGGGGGCACCCCAAACUAAAAUAAAAUUUUGUUCCAAUAGAACCUUCUCUUGUACCAGGGAUGACCAUUUAUGCAUGAAUCAAGCCAUUCUUUUGUAUUGAUUAUUAUCUUUAUUAGUGUUAACAAAUUACGAAAGCAAAUGACUACAACAAACAACAAAACCUAAAAAUUUUAAAUAGUCCGCUAUUAGAAAUCUUUAAAUCCUAGAAAAAUCAGAUUUGGAAAUAGAAGAGUCACAAAAUUCCCUGUGGUAGAAUAAAAUAUCUCUCAUAUCUCCCUCGAAUAAAGCUAAAUUCUUUGUUUUUUUCCAAAAUAAUGUUGGUAUGUUGCCGUGAACAAUACACCAUUCCUUUGUUGAAUCUGAUCCCGGUGGGGAUCAUCCCCCCUAGAACAACAUUUUCUUUCAGGCCUUUCAACAAAUCGAUAUGACCCCGAAGAGCAAAAACUUUUUCUAAAACUCGAGCAGUUUAUUGAAAACUUGCUUCGGAUAUAAACUUUGAGUAUUCAAAGAUGCUCGAGUUAAUACUAAUAAAACGGCUCGAUAACAGAUUGCUUCUUCUAAAGCACGCCCCGCUCAUAAUAAUCCAAUAAGUUCUCCAGGUAAAAAAGCAUUAGCAAUCCCUCUUCGGAAACGAAAACUUUUGAUGUUAGUGGACGUACAUUAAUUUCCGUUUGCCUAUUAUGAAUCUACACCCCUUGGGAUCGAUAAACCUUUUGAAUCUUAUAACCAAAGAAAUACGACUUUGCACUAUAGUUAACUCAGCACCACUCAAGAAUCCCCAAGGAAUUCCAAGAAUUCUUGUUAUACACUUGUUCGAACUCUUAAUCCGUUUUUCUAAGUUCAACGAUACUGAGUCAAUCGAGCGGACUUUUAAUACUUUUUCUACUUUUGGAAGACCUUAGGUUAUAUCACCGGAUCUCGAUUUUUUAUAUAUAAAUGUAACUAAUGUAUCCCCUUCGUAAAGAAUUUCGCUAUAAUGCCCAUGAACUUUUGCUCCCGGAGUAGCCAAAUAGGGCUUAGCGGAUCUUAUUACUGCAGAAUCCCUCUGAACAAUUAAAACUUGACCCGAUUUUAGGUGCGGUUCUUUUUUAGCUAUACAUACAUUUUCACAACAAAUUUUUCCAAGACUAAUUAUUGUGGACGUUUCUUCACAAACAUUAUGAUGAUAAUUUUGAUGAAGAAAAUACCAAUUCAAUUUGACUUGAUUCAAAACAACGUUACUGUAUGGGUCGAGAUUUAAAAUUCUUACGUUUUCAUCGAUUAAGUAAGAGUUAAUUUUUUGAAAAAUAUAUUUUAAGUUAUCAAGUCAAAAAUAUUUAAUUAAAGAGAUUUGAUUAUAAAUUAGUAAAGGCAAAAACGAAUAAAAAUUUGAAAUUGGGGUAGCUGUUCCUAAGGGUCCCAACAAAUUUUCAAUGGUAAUUAGAGUUUUUUUUUCUUAUUAAAUUAUUUAUCACAUUGUGAUGUUUUACAUGAUUAAAUGGACCCAUUCUAAAACAAUUAGAUGAUGAUAAAAGUAACAAAGAUUGGGACUCCUUAUUUUGAUUUAAGAACAUGUGAAUAGUUCCGUGAUUUUGUCUAAGUUAUUGUUGAAGAAUGCCAGACUUUGGCGAAAUCGAAUAAAACUGAUUCAUGUGAUCUAUAGAGAUUAAUCCCGAAUCUGACGAAUUAUUCCUUUUCCUUAUAUAUGAAAUAUGGGAUUUCACUACGCCAGUUCUUAUGAAAUCUUGAAUCAAACCCUUUGUACUUACUUCAACAAAGAAAGCACGGACCUCUUCAGAGAAGAAUUUUUGUCCCAAUUCAAGACUAAACAAGUUCGAACUAAUUGAAUACUUGUGUCAAAAAUUCCUCGAGUUGGUUUGCCAUUUCCAUAAAGGAUAUAGUUAAAAACUCGAAGUUGAAUAGUAUCAUUUCCCCGAAAGAGAUCUUGUUGGAAGAGUGUUGCCAAAUUUAUCUCAUAGGUGGCUACAAGGCCGCACCAAAACAAAAAAAAACUUUUUCUUGGUUGGUGUAAUCCGUUGGACAUAAAUAGGAUUUUUAAAUUUUUUGGAUUCCUUUGAGUUUGUUUUUCCUCUUCCUGGCGGUAUCAAGACGCCACUGUGUCGGGAUAUUUUAUCUGUCUUGUCGGGAAAAUGGAUAUCCCCUGAAAAUAUUUGAGUCCAAUCCUUUUUUUUUCUCUACUCGGAUCAACCCACCGACUUGGCUUCUUAUAUUUAAAGUGAGUCGCGUAUCCACUCCAAUGAUACUAUAGUUCUGUACCAUUAUGGCAGAGGAUUCAGGUAAAAUAUGCACUUCCUCAGGAAUGAAAAAAAAGCGAUCUACUUUCAUUUCUUAUUUUGUCUUAAUUUUUUGGACUCCUUGAUACUCAAUCAUAUCCUCUUUUGGAUGAUUGAAUCCGCCUUUAGAGUCCCAUAUAUAAGAAUUCCGGAACUCUUUCUUCGGUAUCUAGGAUCAUCAAAAAAAGCAAAAAUACUAUGUCUAUGGAAAAUACCAUUUAUGGGUAUUUCAACGGCCUUUUUCAACCGAGAUACCUGCCUGCGGUAUGAAUUCUUUCUCUUGCUCUUGAACCGAUUGGAAUGGAAUAAGAAAUCUAUUUCUUCGUCUUUUUACUAAUAAAUCCGAGUUCUCAUGAAAGAUAGCAGAAUAUAUUAAAAUAUAAUGACUAGUACCUAAGUUUCCAUUCAAUUCUGAAUAAUCGUAAAUCCCUAAUUUUUUGCAUGCACCUAAAGAUAAGAUAGAAAAAAUAAAAAUAAUUAGUAAAAUACGAAAAAUAAAAAUCCUGGACUAAAUUCAAUUCUAAAAAUCCUAGAGGCAAUCGUUUGGUCCCCGGCAACGGCGCCAAAUUGAUUUGAGGUCAAUUAAAAACCUAAAUAUGCAAACUACCGGAUCAAUUCGGUAAUCAAUUGUAGUACUUUAGGAUCGAAUCCACAGAGACCAAGGAUACACUUUAAGACAUUUAGAAUAAAUAAAGCUAAGAUAAAAUCAAUUAAAGUUUUUAUUUGGUUUUCUAAUUAAACUAUCAAGCGAAUAAAUUAAGCAAACAAUUCAAAUAAUUAAACAAGCAUUAGGCAUAGGAUAUUCAUCAAGGAUGUGAGAUGACAAUUCAAUCGAUUAGUGAGAAUAUUUAAGAACCAUCCUUGAACUCAAUUCACGAAAGUAUAGAUAAUUCGCUAUUGCGACGGAACCUAACUAAGCAAUACUAAAUCAGAACCUAAACCAUUGUUUGACUCUAAUAAAGCAAAGCAAGCAUUAACCAACAAGAUUGAUAUGUUCACAAGAUUAAUCAACUUAAAAUCAUAGAACUAGUUAGCUACUCAAGUCGUAGCAUUAAGAACAACAUAGAAUAAGAACCAACAAGAUGAACUCCCAAAUCUAACAACCUAACGAAUCAAUCACAUCCCUUAGAAAUCCUAUACCUAGUAAGCAAACUACUCAGACAUAGAAUCAAGAACAAAGAACAACAUAGAAGAAGACAUCUUUAUUCAAGAAUCAAAUUAAGAAGAAAGCUUCAAAAAAGUUUUUGAGAUAUGAGAUCUCUAAGCUUACAAAACUAAAGAAAAGCUACUGCUAAAAAUCGUGUCUAGGUUUACAAGGUUGAGUCUCAUCGUUUUAUAGAGAAAGGGAAAUCAUAAAAAUGUAAAUAAUGAGAGAAAAGGAAAGUCUUGAGUCGGCAGGGAGGGACUGAUCAGUCUCGGGUGAGGACCGGUCGGUCCCUGGAACAUUCUUCACGAUCUAGAGCCACUAUCUUCAGGGGACCGAUCGGUCUAGGGCAGGACCGAUCGGUCCUGGCACAUUUGAGAGAUCAGACUCUCGGGUCUCUAAGGGGACCGACUGAUUCUUUGAGGGAAUCGACCGGUCCUGGCCUCAUUUUUUCAUACUUGACUCAUUUUCAUGCCAGGACGAUCCAAAAUCUCUUUUUUCAAAUUAGGCACUUUUUAGACCUGUAAAACCACGAAGUGUAGCAGAAAGAACUAAAACCUAUCUAAUAUAAGUUAGUUGACUCAAUAUAUAAUCCUAAAACAAAGACUAAAAACGAUAGAAGAGGACACAUCACUUUGUGAGUGAAUCAAGUGAGAUGUUUUGUAUAAGGGGACUAUCAUGCAGUCUCCUUCACUCGAAGCAACAACAAGAUAUGGUCAAGUACUUGGUUAUUUUUGCUCCUUCAUCCCAGAUUUUGGUCGGGUUAGGUUCGACUCUCAAGCACCGGUGUAGUAAGUCGGUAUAUUUUAUCGCGUUGCCAUUCAUUUAAAUUCCUGAAGUCUCCUAAUAUCAAGAGAGAACAUAUAUGAAGUCGAAAUUUCUUCGGUGAUUUUGGUUUCCCUUUUUGGUUAAGAAUAUAAAUAUUUCAUUAAAAACAAAACGAUUAUGUUUAUAAACCUAGAGAGAUGGUCCAAUGGCAAAACAAAACUUAAAAAAUUGAAGCAUAUAUAGUCACGAAAGAACUCAGUCCGCCCACUCGACUAAAACACUAGGUUAUGGUUAUUUGAGUUAGAUGAAGUGAAAAACGAUGAUUGGUUAUUUUCGUUUUCUUUGUUUGUUUGUAUAUUCCACGAGUGGAUUUUGAGUAAAUUUUAUAUCCUUAGACCAUUUCUAGUGGGUUCUGAAUGGGGAUAUUUAAGCUAAAAAGUAUUAAAAUAAACAAGGUUUUAAUCUGCGGGGUAUUUCUUGUAAGUUUGGUAAAAAUUUGUGUGAUCCAUAAUAUUUACUAAAAUGUUUGGAAAAAAUAAAAAAUAAAAAAUUUGAUGGUUUUAGCACGAAAAAAAAUUAAACGGGAGGUGAAAUCAUCAGACGAUAGUAUUUUAAACACAAUAAAAGACAAAUAAAAAGCAUCGCUGGUAUCUUAUUCACCAGUUUAAAAGCGUCAAUACUAACCAUCAAACGUUCAUAUAGUAUAAACUCGACUCUCUUUUAAUAAUUCUUGGAAAAGUAAAAACCAUUAGUAAAAAUCAAUAUCAAGAUUCUAUACAGAAUUUUUAUGAUUAAAAGAUAAAAUCAGGCUUUUUUUCUUAAAGGUUAUCAACGUAAAAUUUGAAACACUAACACAACUCAUAGAUUCAUAAGGAAAAAAAAAAGACAAAAUAUUAUACUUAUAAAAUAAAUUAGGACAUGUUGAUCUGUUGAAACAAUAUAAAAAAUUUUGGAUCGAUUAAAUUUUUUUGCCUUUUUAAGAUUUAAUAUAUUGCAUUUUUUUUUAUGAGACUAAAAUUUAACUAUUUUUAUGAGAUAAAAACUAACUUUUUUUAUUGGGACUUUAACGAUUUAAUAUAGGGUAAUUGCAGGUCACACUCUUUGAUCAUGUUUUAUUUUUAGGGAUUGCCAAAAUUAAAUGUCGUUUUCACAUUUUGUCUUUUCGGCUGAAAAAUGACCCUUUUGCCAUUGCGCUUCUAUUUUACGAACUGUUGAAUGUACGGUUUAGUUUAGUAGGUUUAUUUAUGUAUACUGUUCCGGUUUAGUUGAAGAUAUAUUUGUUUCACGUUGAUCUGCGAUUCUGUUCAGUUACAAGGGAGAUUACUUCCAUUACAAACAAAGUGACAUCAACAUUUAAUGCCCCACAAAGUUUAGAUGUGACUAUUGUCACAAUCAAUGCAAAAUCAUCAUUACAUGUUAUAAUAUUAAAAAAUUAUUGAUAAUAAUUGUUGAGUUAAAGAAGAUGAACCCAGGAACAAACAUUAAUUGCGACCGCACAUUGCUGCUGAAGAAGUGUUGAUCUUGUUUUUGUACGAAAUUUGGAGCCAAUACAAGCAUUGAUCGUGUAAGUAAUGAAGUUCUUUUAAGAGUUUUUUUUGUUAUGACAUAUUAGGAUCUUGAUUGUGUUCGAACUCAACAACGUUUUUUACAGAAAAACACAGAAAAUUUGAAGAUAUAAAUUUGUAUGUUAAAAAUAGUAAAUGAGUAGGUAUUUAGGUUUAUAAAUGUGAGUAUCGACAUUCUAUUUUUUUUGUAUAUAUAGUCUUUUUCAGUUGCAUUUAAUGUGUGUCUUCUGAAUUUAUGAUGCAAGUGGGUUAUGAAUAUUUCCGUAUUUACUAUGGUCGGUGAGUGGAGAUGCAAAGAAGAAGAACGGAAAUUUGAACCUGAGGAAGGCAUGUUUGUUCGUUGUGUACGCACUCAGGAAAACAUGACGUACACAGACUUUGUCCGUACACUAAGAGAGGCUUUCAGUUUGAAGUCCACCGAGAUCAAUCCCAUAAUUAGCUACUGGAUGCCGGGAGAAAUGUCAGUGCUGAUAGAUACUAAACGCCCUCAUGUAUACAUUGACAGUCAAAUGGGUCUCGAUACGUUCUUUUUGGUUCGUGGUGGGUAUCAUUCUCUCAAUUUGUUCCUCUCUUUCAUUACUACCGUCAAGGCGUUUGGAAUACUGUCUCUAGGACUCACAGUGACGUUUCUGAAACUGACCGUGUGUUUGAUAGUGCUACAAAUGUUGAUGAAAAUAAUGAGGAUGCAGAUGAGCAAGCCGACGUUGAAGACGAUACAACAGAUCAGGAUGAAGUGGAGGAGGGCAACGAAGAUGAUGAUGGGUAUGAUGAUUAUCAUGGUGAGGAUGGAUAUAUUGGGGAAAGUACCCUCUAUCCUACCAUAGACAGUAGUGAAGGUAUUGGCGAAGAAUACAAUUACAACAGCUGGAACGAUGUAAUUGUAGAAAAAUAUGGAAUAAAAAAUGUUGAGGAAGACGUCAUUCUCACUCAACAGACUGCUCAACAUCUAGGGGAAUUCAGUCGUCUAUUGGAAGAGUGUACCUGGCAGAGAUACAAUUUCUCCAUUGGGUGACGGUAGACGCUGCGAAGGUAACACGGAUACCAAUCUUAUUGGUAUAGACGAUGUCACCAGGGAUGAAGUCAUCGACCGUGGUAUUAGAGCUUCCGCAACUAGGACACUAAAUGAUAAUCGGGUAGUUACCACAGUUGAGGCUUACCAAGUGUAUAAUGAAUUUUCUACAUUACAUGGUGGUGAGUUGGCGAUUCUCGGUAACGAUGUUGCUCCGGUGUUCGAUGAUUUACUCAAUUUUUGAGCCGAUGAGACACAUGUUGAACUCAGCACCACAUGUGAAACUUUGUAUGUGGGGAGUGUUUUUAAGAACAGAAAAGUCCUUCAACAAACAAUGUCUUAUCAAGCGAUCAAGCAAUGCUUUUGCUUCAAGCAACCUAAGUCAUGUCCUAAAAUAUUGAAGAUGGUAUGCGUUGAUGAUACUUGUCUAUGGCAUUUGACUGCUCACGUCGUCAAAGAUUCAGAAAGUUUCAAAAUCGCAUUGUAUGCUACCACACAUACGUGUGACAUUAACUCUCGAAAGAACUACAAUAAACAUGCUAAUUAUAAAGUGUUGUGAAGAGCAGAUACAGUUCUACGCAAGGGAGGCCUCGAGCUGUCGAUUUACCACAGUUGCUCUUAAAUGAUCUCAAUGUGCGGAUUUCAUAUUCUACCGCUUGGAGAGCUAAAGAGGUUGUAGUGGAAAAUGUAAGGGGGAUGAGAUCGCAAAUUACAGGUUUUUGUCGACCUAUUUGUAUCUUUUCCAAAUAGCUAAUACGGGUACAAUAACCCACCUACACUAUACACCUGAAGAUGAUGGUAAGCAGCGCUUUAAGUAUGUCUUUGUCUCUCUUGGCGCUUCUAUCAAAGUUCUGAUAUAUAGUGAAGCCAUAUCAGCUGCCUUCUCCUCCACCUAUCCCGAUGGAGCCACAGGUCUUUCAGCAGUACGUUGUCGACAGUUUCAAGAGCGUCUGGAACGCCAUAGCUAUACUUUCUCGUUGCGGUUGUGUUGCUCCCAGUCGUCCUCGUCGUCGCUCUCCCGCACCUACCUCCGGCUCGGAGCAUAAGGACUAGCCAUCCUCCUUCUCUUGUUCUGUUUUCUGACUUUUUUUCUGCUUUAUUUCAGACUAUUGGUUAUUUGUUUUGAAACUUGUUGCACUUAUUUUCUUAUGCUUUGUUGGAACUAUUGAUGUGUGUUUUAUUGAUUUAACAGUCUAACUGGAGGAUCCAUGUGAAAACACUAACCAAGGCUCUACAACAAUGAGAAGAAUUCACAAAGCAGAGCGAAACGACCAGACUGUCGAUCAACACCACUCUCAGGUGGCAACUCACGUUUUCUAUCUUUUAACUUUUGAUUAUUUCUCUUUCGAUUCGUCUAGCUUAAUAACUCUGAGGACAGUGUUAUCUAAGUCUGGGGGAGUCAGUUAGUAACUUCAUCUUUUCUUUUUUUAUGAGUCAGUUGUGUCAUUUUAACUUAGAUAGUCAUUUUAUGAGUCAAAACUUUUGUCUGAAAUUAUGAUCUAUCUCUCGAGUUUAUUGCCUGGAUUGCUUAAGUACCGCAGAUUCAAAUCAAUCCGACUAAUGAAAAAUCUAGAAAGCCAAUCAACAAACUUAAGGACAUCCAUUCCCAACAUAAUCCACAAAGGCUGGAGCUAAUCUCACUACUCUUCCUUUUACCUCAUCAAAACGGUUAGUGCUCAUAGGAUUUGACUCCUUGUUCAUACCUGAUAAAUUGACUAAUGUGUUAAAAAGAAAGUGUUCCUCUCCCAACUAAAAAAAAAUAAUAAAAUAAUAAAUAACAAGAGAUUGAGAAGACUUUCAGAUAGUGUAUAGGGGUAGGAAUGUUUCCUACGACCCCAUUAUUAUACAUUAUUUGGAACGAUCAAUUACAAAGGUUGGAAAAAUGCUGAGGGUGUCGAUCCAGUAUGCGAGUUCCUCUUUGUGUACUCUCUAAAAAUAAUAAGUCUGGGGGAGAGAAAGAAUACCAAAGAAAAAAAAGAAAAGAAUGGUCGAUUUAUCAUGGUAUAGUACAUGAAUGAGUCUAGAAGGUUCUUAAGCAUUUACUUGAUUGAUGAGACCCAGCGAUGAUAGCCUAGUGGAUAUAGUUGAGUGCUUUGUUAUGGAAUCUAGGAUGUUGUGUGGGCUAGCGGAGAAUUACAUGGUGGUCAGGAUUUGAUUAGAACUGUUUAGUGCAUGGAUUUGGUUUGUAUGAUCAAGGUAAUAAACCAGAGAGAUUGGGAGAUUCUAUGUUUUUCAAACCUCUUUGACAGAUUCAACCUUUUGUUUUGCUUGAGACAAGCAAAAGCUAAGUCUGGGAGAAUUCAUAUGUCUUGGUUUUUACUGAUUUCUAACAUAGUUUCAGAAUGGUUUUUAGAGUCUUUCUAGUCUUUUUCGUACGUUUUGAGUCAUUUCAUGUACACUUACACAUCUGGGAACUAUGGAGCACAAUAAGGAAUUUUGGAAGCUUUUCCGCAAUGAAGAUCUUGAAGGACGUUUUUCAGAAGUUGAUGUCGAUCGACACCACACCUGUGUCGGUCGACACUCGUAUCGCUGCCAAGGGAAUUCUCGUUUUCUACCAAGUCUUUGAGAAGUCCUGAAGUCUUCCUUAUUUGCAAAAUAGUCCCUGCACGUUUUUAGGGACAAAUAUACCUAAUUGUUUGGUCAUUGUUAGACCUAGUUUUUGUUGGAGAGCUUUUGUAACACAUUUAGAGAGAAGAAUCCAAUCCCUUGAGAGAGGAUUCUGAACUCCUUUGAUAUUAUUCUUAAUUCAUUAAUGAAAACUAUUCAGAUUAUGAUUUGUGUUUCUAUUGUCAUGUCUGUGUAAUCACCUUGUUGGGUUUAGGGAGUCUCAAUAGGGAUUUAGAUGGAUUUAUAGUUCGAAAACCCCUUAAGAUUAUUCUUAGAGUUCUUCAUCUUGAUUAUUCUUAAUGCUAGUUUUAGAUUGAUCACCUAGAACUUGAUAUUAGAUAAUAGGUAUGCCCGCCAUAGGUACUUGUUAUUUGAACUAUCAUAGAUGAGCCUAGGCAUUUAAGAAAGAACAGGUAGGCUCAUAGAAAGGCUCUGGUUUAGAUACUAGGUGAACUAAUCAAGCUUAUUAACAAUGCAUGCUUUAGCAUAAGAUUUCUCGGCUUCUCUGGUUAUCUUAGCUUUAAGUAUAGAGAGUUUCGCGGAACGCCACCGGUUACUCUAGAAUCAUAGUUUGAGUUCGAGAACGGUGCGAUAACAAUCUUGAUAUUAGCUAGUUCUACAAUUUAUCUAUCUCCCGAGACAAUUCCUUAGACUUGACGCUUUAAUCACUUGAAUCUACAACUCAUUUACUUGCUUAUUUGUCUUUAACAUUCAAUUACUUCAUUUAGCUUAUUAAACAACAUCAUAAGUAUAUUGUGUGAACAUCAAGAGCUCAAUGGAAUUCGACCCUUAAGUGCUAACGACGAUCUCUUCUUUGAAGGAGUAAGCUUAAGGCAAUUUGAGUUAUAUCACUCAGAAAGAAGAAAAACAGAACAUGAUGUCACAUUUCCACCAACAUACUCGAUCACCAGUAGGAGAGAGGGAAGCAGUCAGCUAAGCAGUCCAUCCAGACACUUACACUCGAUCGCAGAGAAGAGGAGGCAGUCCCAACUACAAUUCUACUCGAUCGUAGAGGCGACCAGGCAGUCCACUUUGCCAGUCCACCAGUUCUACUCGAUUGCAGAGGAGAAGAACCACUCCAUCCUGACAGCUGAUACACAUACUCGAUCACAAAGGCCAAGAAGCAGCCCAAACCAUUUUGUCAACCAACCUACUCGACCACCACCUCGACCUUUCUAUGUUAUUGUCUUUAAGCAUGUUGUCUGAGUAGUGAUUAGGAUUUUUGAGGAUGGGAUAGAGUAGUUGUGGAUCCCCUGGUCGAAUCUGGUUGUUAAGUGUAGAUUUAUUGAAUCCCUUCUGGAUUAGUUGUGUUUACUGUUUAUUCCUUUCUGAUCAACUGGAAUCCGAUCCCAGACGUUCCAGCGCCCAGAAGGCGUUUAAUGGAACGUUGGCUCUACUAAUUCCAGUGAUAAUUGUCUCUAUCCCAAGGGAUUGGCCGUUUAGAGCGGUUAUUGGCUUCAACAGUCGGUUCUUAUUGCCUGCUUACUAAGAUCGCUAAUUGGAAUUAGGUCAGUGUCUAGCUAUGCUUGAGGAUUUCUAUCACUGGAGUGAAUUAAUUUGUUGUUGAACUUGUUGUCUAGGGAUAGUUUAAUUGAGAUUUGUUACCAAACUGAAUUGAUUAGGGAGACCACACUAUUCGAUUACCCCAUCCUUAGGAGUUUCUCAUCCAAUUGAUUUCUCUAUUUAUUUACCUGCUUCAUUCACUUGCUAUUGAAUUUUAGUUUUUUCUACUUUCAACCAUUCUACUCGAUCACACCCUGAUAUUAAUAGUGAGACUGUGUGAUAGAAUAAAUUGGUCCAUUUCUGCAUUUUCACUCUCUGUCAUCCUGUUGUACUCGAUCACAGGGUCCAUUCUGGCAGUCGACCCUGCUAUCGAGUAUAUCAGUCAUUUCUGUUAUUUUUUUUACUGUUUUCUGCAUCAACACUAGGACUGUUAGACAAACAACCUAAUACUGCUUGGCUUGACUUAGCAACUUCUGAUCAUAUCUCAUCUGUUUGCAUCACACCCAUUUGGAUUGACACCUAAAAUACUACAACGACAGGAUAGUGUUUUGGGAUUAAUUGAUCUUAAAAACUUACUAUCAAUUUGGCGCCGUUGCCAAUUGGGUGCUUGUUUGCUAUAUUUGAGAUUUCAGAAUUGUUAAGAUCAAGUUCAUUUUUGUUAUAAGAGAUACUAACAUUGUUUCUUUUCAGACUUUGUAUUUCAGGUACUUAGCAACCAACUUGAUUCGUCUGUUAUAGCCAGGUUGCUACCUGUUGCAUGCAUACACGGUCAUAAGGGAAUCAGAACCUCCUAUUCAACGAUAACAUCGACCGUAUUGCUCGCCUACUGAGAGAACAAUCAUCAACAGACACAAUGGCUGACUUCCUUCACAACCACAACUAGCGUCAUGGCAUUGUUCCACUUCCAGUAUAGAACAACAAUUUUGAGAUCAAAAGCAGUCUCAUUCCAAUGGUGCAGGGGAACAAGUUUCAUGGCUUGCCAAUGGAGGAUCCGCUCGAUCAUCUAGACGAGUUUGAAAGGCUCUGUAGCCUUUCUAAAAUCAAUGGAGUUAGUGAAGAUGGUUUCAAGCUUCGCUUGUUUCCAUUCUCACUUGGAGACAAAGUCCAUCUGUGGGAAAAUAUGCUACCCCAGGGAUCAAUCACGACCUGGGAUGACUGCAAAAAGGGCUUCUUGGCAAGACUCCGGAAUGAGAUAUCCGGAUUCACUCAGAAGCAAAAUAAAAGCUUCUGUGAAGCUUGGGAACGCUUUAAGGGUUAUCAAACCAAAUGCCCUCAUCACGGAUUUAAGCAAUCUUCUCUUCUCAGCGUACUCUAUAGAGGCGUCUAGCCUAAGAUAAGGAUGCUGCUUGACACCGCUUCAAAUGGGAAUUUCCUGAAGAAGGAUGUUGAAGAAGGGUAGGAGCUAGUUGAAAACUUUGCUCAGUCGGAUGGCAAUUAUAAUGAAGAUUAUGACAGAAGCAUCCACACCAGUUCUGACUCUGAUGACAAGCAUCGUAGAGAAAUGAAAGCUCUCAAUGACAAACUAGACAAAAUCCUCCAAGUGUAGCAGAAACAUGUUCACCUCAUCUCUAAAGAUGAACCAUUCCAGGUACAAGAGGGGGAGAAUGAUCAGUGUGCUGAUAGCUAUGUUCAGAAUCAAUGUGGCUACAACAAGGGGUACAACAAUUACAGACCCAACCCAAAUGUGUCAUACAGAAGCACCAAUAUCGCCAACCCUCAGGACCAAGUCUACCCUCAGCAGCAGCAGAACCAACCCAAUCCGUUUGUUCCUUACAACCAAAGUCAAGGGUUCGUUCUAAAGCAGCAGUUUCAAGGAGGAUAUCAACAACAGCAGUCACCACCUGAUUUCACACCACAUCAACAACAAGCACAUGCGCCUCAGAAUUCAGACAUAAUGACUAUGAUCCAGCAGCUCAUUCAAGGACAAGCCACAUGAGCAAAGGAAAUCGCUAAGAAGCUAGCUAAAUUAAACAACAAAGUCGACCGACAAGGCGUCAAACUUAAUAGCAAGUUCGAAUCACUAAGCACUAGGAUGAGAUAUAUGGAAGGCAUCCUCAUUACACCAUCUGUUAACAACAACCGAGGCUAGCUUCCAGGGAAAGCAAUCCAGAACCCUAAGGAGUACGCCACUGCUCACGCCAUCACUAUCUGCCAAGAUCGAGAGCUGCCAACUCGACAUGCCUCUACCUCUAUCACUAGGGACUGUGAAGUUCAAGAAGGGGAGGAUUUUGUUCAGAAUAAAAUUCCAACUGAAAUAGCAAUAGAGGAGCCCAUACUCGAUCGCAGUACUCGAUCCCAAGCUGAAGCAGUAUUUUCCUCCACCCUACAAGCCUGCACUACCAUUUCCAGGGAGAUUCAAGAAGAAACUGAUAAAGAAGUAUGAAGCUCUCUUGGAAAAAUAAUUGAAGGACCUUGAAAUCACAAUGCCUCUAGUAGACUGUCUUGCGCUAAUAUCGGACUCACACAAACGUGUGAAGGACAUGAUUACAGAGAGGAUCAAAGAAGUUCAAAGAACGGUGGCGUUAACUCACGAGUGUAGUGCAAUCAUCCAAUAGAACAUUGUUCAAGAAAAGUUGGAAGAUCCGGGAUCUUUUACUCUACCAUGCUCUAUUAGGCAACUGGCUUUCAGCAACUGUCUAUGUGAUCUAGGAGCUUCAGUCAGCCUAAUUCCACUUUCUCUGGUAAGGAAGCUGGGAUUUGUCAAAUAUAAGCCGUGCGACCUAUCUUUGAUCCUUGCUGAUAGGAUCCUAAGAAAACCCUAUGGCCUACUAGAAGAUAUACCUACCAAGAUUAAUGGAGUAGACGUGCCUAAACACUUUGUGGUGCUUGAGAUAGAUGAAGAACCUAAGGAUCCUCUGAUCCUAGGAAGACCUUUCUUGGCCUCAGUUGGAGUGGUGAUAGACGUCAAAGAUGGAAAGAUUGAUCUCAAUCUUGGGAAGGAUAUAAGGUUACUGUUUGACAUCAACAAAGCUCCAAGAAGAUCAACCAUAGAGGGACAGACCUCUGGGGUCCAAGGAGUGGUUACAGAAGAUGGAUUUGAGUCUGAAAGCGUUAAGGAACCAAGUUUAACCCCAACACGACCUUCAAGCUCAACCACUCAAUCUAGUACGCUCUGUGUAGUUGAUUGGCUAGAACUUAAAAGGAAGUCUGAUCUCCAAGAAGAAACCAUCCAGAAGCUAGCUUGCACUGUUGAGGAAUUUAGGGAUAAAGUGAGUCGGAUGCAAAGGGAAGCUAUUCAACCUCAACUCGGCAUUGAAGCUAUAUCAAAGAAGAAAUUUGUUUCAGAAUGGUCUGAAGAAGAACACUACCAACGAGAAAUAAAAGAAGCUCACAAGAAAAGGGCCAUUGAGUACUCAAUUACAAACUUGUCAAGAGAGCAUGCUAAGUCCGAUGUUGUAUCUGCUAAGGAAGAAGAGAAGAUUUCAAUUCUUCUCUAUCACCCUCCUUAAGCCUAAUGAAUGUGAGAAGUCAAGCUAGAGACUUAAGACAAGCUCACUUGGAAGGAAGUCCCAUGUCUAUCUUCGUAAAUAUCUUUAUUUUUCCUUGUUGUUUUUAAUGCAUUCUAGUAGUGUUUUCAGGAGAUAAGUAUGAAGAGCUGAAUGAAGUGGAUUGUGGCUCUGAUGGAACAGCUACACUCGACCACGGAGCAAUCAAAGACACUCGACCUUGUUUUGGCUUCUCCACGCCAGGAGAUCACUCGACCGCGGUGAUGGCCGCAGUAGAAGAGAGAGAUCGAGAAUCUACAAAGCGGUGCUGACCGCAGUAGAAGAAGAGAGCACUAUACUCGACCAUACUCUACAGGGAGGGAAUGAAGCUGUGAUCGAGUAUAGUUUAUGCAAAUCACUACUUCUCUAUAUCCAAAAUACACUCGACCGCGGUGCUGGCCGCCACGAAGGAGAUGAGGUCGAGUACCCACAGGGCGAAGUAGAGACACAACAAGGAGUUUCUUCAAUGGACUGGGAGCAAUCACAGGCAGCUAUUGACGACCAACUCCGCUCCUUCUUCAACUGAGGUACCACACCCAACCAUCAUUGUAUAUACCAUAUUCUGUUUUCGUUUCUUUUAGUGUCUGUUGAACUCUUCUUUAGACUUCUAAUACACAAGAGACUUGGUAGUUUAAAGUUUGGGGGAGGAUUCAAGAAGUAUUUAACAUGUUUGCUAGUGAGUCUUAUUUGCAUCAUUUGAGUCUUAACUUCAUCUAAGGCAUUGAAAAAACCAAAAAAAAAAUUGAAAAAAUUUCUGAAAAUGUAUUCCACAAAAAAAGAGUGUUCAUAUAGUUGCAUCACAUUUAGGAUUGAGUUUAGGAUGUUCCAUAUAGGAUUGUCGCAUAUGCAUUGGGGAUUAUGAUGAGAUAGCCUUGUAAGCAUUUUGGUUCAUCGUUGCUAGUUGUCUGAUGCGUAGUCAAUGAAAUUGAAGUAAAACUGCACCAAUGUCUUGAAUGCUCUGCUCGAUCACACUGUUAUUAUCUGAUACCAUUCUCUAUCAAUUUGAACCUGAAUCUGACUUGCAAUUAUCAUGUCUUAGCAUCGAAUUUGAACUCAUGGAUACCAUAGACAUACUUCAGUUUUCUUUAAAACUUUUCACAACCCUUACUAACCCAAGUAGCUGCUUCCAUCAUUGAAGUAGUUUCCCUUGCCCUUAGCCUAACCUUUCUUUUGAGCCCUGUAAUAUAUCGUGUGUGAUUGUGAGGCCUGUUUCAGGAUUGAGCUUGGAAGAAAGUGUUAGGUUUGAGCCGACAAGAGUAAUGUCUCAUGUAGUUCUAGUCCACGUUUUCUGGGCUAAAUAGGACUAGGUGGGUGUCUAUUCUUGGAGUGGGGAUCGAGUAUAUGAGAAAAAUAAGAGAGAAAGGAAAUGUUGAUUUCUUAGGAGAAGGAAGUUGAGAAACAAGUUAGUCUAGUAAUGGAUUUUGGGGAACUAAAAAAAAUAAAAAAAUUCUAUAACAACAGAAGAAAAAAUCUAGAAAAGUCUUGAUCACAAGAAGAUAACAAGAGCCAUAGUUGUCAAAGAAAACCAAAGUCCACUAGAUCCAUCAAGGUAAAAGAAACUUCUCCUUAUAAUAAGAGUCAAAGACAAGAAAGAAUGGUUUGAUCCAAGACAAGAAUGAAACAAAAAAUGCCUUGAGUGCAAAGGGUAGAACGAGGAUCAUAUUUUCGGCUUGAGGGUAGUACUAUCUGUUGGUGUAUACACUGAAUUUCUUAUUGGGUAGAUGGGAUACUAUUCUUGUAUGCAUAGGUUGGCUCUUACCUUUAGCAUUCUCCUAAAGCUCAUUCCAUUUCUUUUGACAGUCCCCUGUUACUAAACUUGAACCACCAAAAAGGGACCAUCUUUGUCUCGUGCCUUCACCUUAGCCAAAUGAGUUCAUUGAUGAUGCAUAACUUGAUUCACGUUCCUAAACUAAUGAAUGUUAAAGGGAUUGGUAGAUUUGAAAGCAUGUGUAGGUCGAUUGUAAGAGUGGGAUUGAACUAUAAUAAGGCAUGGCUAACGUUUUUGAGUAGAGUUCGAUCAUAUCGCAUCCUAGAACUGCCAAAUUGGACAUUGAUUUUAUCUGAUUUAUCUAAUGCUUUGGUUCUGAAUCCCCACCUUCAAACCUCUCAUUAAGCUUAUGACUACUUUUUUGCUUAAGGGCAAGCAAAGACUAAGUUUGGGGGAGUUGACAUGUAUCACCAUUUUGAGUCUAGUUUCAUCCAUCUUUCAUAGCAUUCAUCAUCAUUUUUGUACAUUUUGCGUCUUUAGUCGAGUGUAGGACUAGUCUUGCAUACAUUCUGCAUUCUGGAGUUGUUUCAGGUGCUUUGGAGCUAUUGGUGCUCAGAAAGAGGAAAAACAGAACAGAAAGUCACAUUUCCAACAACAUACUCGAUCACCAGUAGCAGAGAGGGAAGCAGUCAGCUCAGCAGUCCAUCCAGACACUUACACUCGAUCGCAGAGAAGAGGAGGCAGUCCCAACUACAAUUCUACUCGAUCGAAGAGGCGACCAGGCAGUCCACUUUGCCAGUUCACCAGUUCUACUUGAUCGCAGAGGAGAAGAACCAGUCCAUCCUGACAGCUGACACACAUACUCGAUCACAGAGGCCAAGAAGCAGCCCAGACAAUUCUGUCAACCAACCUACUCGACCACCACCUCGACCCUUUGAUCAAUCCGCACCCAACCAGACAACCUGAGCAACAGAGAGAGAAUAGAAGAGAAGGCCCAUUCGAAGCCCAUUCGAAUCCCAUCAGGAAGCCCACUUUGAGCCGAUACUCUUGAUCACAUCGUCCAUGGGUCGUUAAGUGGGCUCGAAGCCCGCUUUCUUAUCUUAGUAUAAAUAAGUCUCUAAGGGUUUUGCCCUAAGACAUGCACUUUGAGAGACACGAAUUUCGCACUAUUAUUCAGCAGCCGCUUUUCAUUCCUUCAACUUUGUAUUUCGAUUUUUCUUCUAAGUUAUUCAGAUUUUGCUUUCAUUUGCUUGUUCAUCUUUGUUUCAUUCUCUUUAAUAUUUUUAGUAUGCAAUCUUCAAUCGUUUCUAUGUUAUUGUCUUUAAGCAUGUUGUCUGAGUUGUGAUUAGGAUUUUUGAGGAUGGGAUAGAGUAGUUGUGGAACCCAUGGUCGAAUCUGUUGGUUAAGUGUAGAUUUAUUGAAUCCCUUCUGGAUUAGUUGUGUUUACUGCUUAUUCCUUUCUGAUCAACUGGAAUCCGAUCCCAGACGUUCCAGCGCUCAGAAGGCGUUUAAUGGAACGUUGGAUCUACUAAUUCCAGUGAUAGUCAUCUCUAUCCCAAGGGAUUGGCCGUUUAGAGCGGUUAUUGGCUUUAACAGUCGGUUCUUAUUGCAUGCUUAGUUAGGGAUCGCUAAUUGGAAUUAGGUCAGUGUAUAGCUAUGCUUGAGAAUUUCUAUCACGGGAGUGAAUUAAUCUGUUGUUGAACCUGUUGUCAAGUGAUAGCUUAAUUGAGAUUUGUUAACCAACUGAAUUGAUUAGGGAUACUACACUAUUCGAUUACCCCAUCCUUAGGAGUUUCUCAUCCAAUUGAUUUCUCUGUUUAUUUACCUGCUUCAUCCACUUGCUAUUGAAUUUUAGGAUUUUUCUGCUUUCAACCAUUCUACUCGAUCACACCCUUCUACUAACAGUGAGACUGUGUGAUAAAGUAAACUGGUCUAUUUCUACAUUUUCACUCUCUCUCAUCCUGUUGUACUCGAUCAUAGGGUCCCUUCUGGCAGUCGACCCUACGAUCGAGUAUCUCAGUCAUUUCUGUGAUUUUUUUUACUGUUUUCUGCAUCAACACUAGGACUGUUAGACAAACAACCCAAUACUGCUUGGCUUGACUUAGCAACUUCUGAUCAUAUCUCAUCUGUUUAAAUCACACCCAUUUGGAUUGACACUUAAAAUAUUACAACGACAAGAUAGUGUUUUAGGAUUAAUUGAUCUUAAAAACUUACUAUCACUAAGUUCCUUAGCGUCUCUAUGGGAGUCUGGCUGACUGGAAGGUAGUUGACAAGUAUGCUUAUGGGGUUUGGCAAUUGGAUUCCUAAAUACAUCUCGGUUGGAGGGUUUGAUGGUGGUAGGAAAGGCAUGGUGUUUUUUUCAAAUGAGGAGGUUUAAGACGGAUUCGUGUAUUCAACUUAGUGUGUUUGACAUGAGUUUUAAAGGGGAGAAUAACCAUCAAUGUAAGUGGUUGGGCGACAUUGAUGUAUAUUUAGUGCAUAAUAUUAGUAAGUUUUAAAUUAAACAAAAUACUGUGUACAUCUCAUAAAUGCGCCGUGUACAUCUAUGAAGUACUCAUUACGUUUUCUGACACAAGGUUGAGUUGAUGUUUGUUUGUAUAUAAGGGGAACAAUAUUGCUUCUUGUAUAUUGCUAUAUUAGGGGGAACGCUAUUACUAAAGCACAUUUUAAAUAAACAAAACAAACUUAUUUUAUCUGCCAAAUGAAUUGAGUACGUUGCUUGGGAACCGUGUACGUCUAAUACAGAUAUUAAUGAGAGUUGAUAGAGGUCACUUCUAUGGUGUGUUUGACAGGAUGUAAUUAAUCAAGGAGCAAAAUUUUCUAGAUAUGGGUUAUACUACGUCAAAUCAAUCUUUUUACGUCUUCAUUUACUAAUUAUCUCGUCACUCGCUUGGUUAUCUUUCCAGUUUGAAAUAAACGAUACAAAGUGUACAAUAGCUUAUAGCAUCUACGUAGAUAUUUUGUUAUUUAAUUAUUCAUAUGGGUUGUUUCUUCUUACAGUACUUUGAUUUAGUAAGUUUGGAAAUUCUUAGAAAGUGUUAAUUAUUAAAAACAAACUUCCAUUAUUGAUAAUCAAAGUACAAAGCUCACAUAUUAUUGCAUGAAACACUUAUAAAUAUGAUAGGAUCGUUACGAAUGUCAAAACUACAGAAUCUGGCUAAUCUUUUUGGCACACCACCAGAUGUUACAUUCGUUGCAAAGAUUAUUAAAGAGUCCCGACACACAUCAUCGCGCAUUCAGGCGUUCAAAUGUCACCACAUUCAGGGUACGAAAAGCUUUUAGCGUAGGUGUUUUUUAAAGUAUUAACAUAUUUCUUUAUUUCUUCUAAAGCAUAAUGGUUGCUUCUGAAGAGCCGAAGGUAAAUACCACCCAUGUGAGCACUACCGUCAAAUAUGUAAAAAAUUGCGCAGGCAAGGGUUGCAGCGUCGUGCCCUUUGGGCAAUUCUCUCUAAAUGUACGAUAGCUCCCUUAAUGUCAGACUCAUGGGUAACAAGACGCAGUCCUUCACGGUAAAUAGCAGUCGGGUUACCAGCCUCUACGCACCGUUCGAAGAAGGAUCUAUAUCGACAUUUAGAGUUGAUGUCAUUUGUAUCAUAGCCAACCGCGUGGAAGUCAUCGGGAUCGUCGCACAUGCUGAAAAUAUUUGCAUCUUUCAGGACAUCCGAUCGGUAGACUAUAUUUCUUCCAUGAGGCUCUUAUUUCAACAUAGGUCCGAGGUACCACCAACAUUUGUGAGCCAUUUGCUUGGCUAUCUUCGCUAGCAAAUCAUCAAGUAUAUUUGGGUUUGCCAUAUUUUGGAAUAAGGUGUUUCAAAACAAUAAAAUUCCAACUCUUAAAUAAACAUCAUUGAAGAUAUGGUUGGGUAAGUUAUGGUUGUAUUUAUUGCAAAGGACGUAAGUGAUGAUGCAGAUUCAGAUUGUCAAAUCAACGUAAUAGUUUUUCGUAUAUGAUUUGUUUUUGUUCUUAUGAGCAACUUCUAAUAAAAAAUAUGCCUAAAAAUAGCAGUGUACGUAGAUGUGUACAUUAAAGUGUAUCUGUGGCAAGUGUACGUACAUAUGUUAAUAUCCACAUUUUUGAUGCAAACCAAAGACUUUAUCUAUUUUAUUUGGUAGAUGCACGUGUACGUAGAUUUUAUCAGUGGCAAGUGUACGUCCAUAUGUUAAUAUCCACAUUUCUGAUGCAAACCAAAGACGUUAUCGUUUUAUUUGGUAGAUGCACAUGUACGUCUAGCUUUUAAUCUCAACAAUUUACAAUUAUUAUGGAAACUAUGACGAUUAUGACGUACUUAACAAGAUUAUCAUAAAAACCAUAACAUAUCGUAUGACUGAAAGACCAAAUAUCAUUUGCCUAUUAGCGGAAUAACUAAUCCGGAGAAACAUAAACACACCAUGCAACCAGAAAAUGAAACGAAAAUAAAUAACAUAGUAGAAGCAUUAAUAUAAUUUGAAACAUCACUUAGCGGAUAACAUACACUAACACAUGAAGUAGAAUGGAAUAACUAUAGCAUUUGACUAACAUGCCUAGCACACGACCAGAUGUAACAGCGGUUGCAAACGGUUUAGAAAGCUCAAGAUACCAUGUAACAAUAGAAGAGGCAUGGUAGCAUACUAAUUCCAUGGCUCGUAGGAUACCAGAAAGUAGGACCAUAUGUAUUGCUGUAUGGAGGGUGAAACUUCUUUAUUUCCUCGAUGAACUCAUCACCCAAAACUCGAGUGGCAACCUAGUCCAAUGGAUAAUGGUUGCGGGUGAAGAGCUGUAGAAACAAGUCGCCCGUAUAAUCAUAAUCAGCACAUAUGAUGGCGCAUGCAAGUGUUGCAUUUGCUCGUUGUGGAGCAUGACGCUGUAAGAGCUUGAUGGCUCCAUUGAUGUUUCAUUCAUGCGUUAGAACACGAAUACCUUCGUAAUACACGGCCGUGAGAUUGUUAGGUGCAAAACCCCUUAAGAAAAAUGGUCGAUGUCGGCCUUCAACAGCGACUCCGGAGGAAUUGUGGCCCCCUCCAGCUUGGAAGUCAUCGGGAUCGCUACACAAGGUGAGAAUAAUGGCAUCUUUGAGGACAUCCGGACGGUAGACAAUGUCUCUUCCGCGAGUGUCUGAUCGUAUUAGUGAACCAAGGUCUGACCAGCAUUUGUCAGACAUGUUCUUAGCUAUAUGCGAGAGUAAAUCAUUGAAAAGAGUCGGGUUAACCAUAUUUGAAAUGAGAUACUCCGAGAUCGUCAUUAAGUUUUUCACUUUAAUAACCACUACUAUGGAUUUAGUUGGGGCAAUUACGGUUGAAUUAAAUGUCAUAUAUGUGUUGGUCAGCGUUGGAUGUCAAAUCAAUUUAUCACCUUAGUUAUGUUAGAAAGUAAAUUUAACGUGUAUGAGAAAUAUAGAUAUAUGUGGGAGACAUAUGUUUUAACGUGUACGUACACAAUACAUAUUGUUUGAGAAGUGUACGAUGUGUACAAGAAGAGAGUGAUAACAGAAACUAAAUUAAGUUCUUACAAGCUCCAAACUUAAAUGUAGUUGCAAUCUAAGAUAGGUUUGUUCAAAAUAAUAAGUGUAAGGUACAUAUUAUUAUAGACAGGCGAUUAUAAUAAAUGCACAGUACCCUCCUCGCGCUUUCCGUGCUCGUAGAUAUCCACCGAGUAUUUCUAACGGUAGAAGACCAUGUCUGUUUCCCGAAUGUUGAACAGGUCUGAAAAAGGGUUUCCAAACACGAGCAACUCCAAGAACUUCAUCGUGUAUGACCCGCAAUCUCCAGUAUUUGGGGUUUGAGCAACGGUGAAACAACGUUCAUACUCAAAAAGUUCAACUGAGUACGCAGAAGUCAAUACAUCCUGGCACACCGCUCUAACUAAGAACAACAUCAUUUUACAAAUAUGAGUCAUUCUCGACUUCACAACCGACUCACGCGUGUGCGAUAUUAAAGCGUCAUACACAGUUAUUCGCCGUUCUUUGAGGUUGAUUCCCAAAGCAACCCAAUGUUCAUGAUUCCAGUUCAUCGGAGCAUAUACGACAUCGACAUCCUUUAGCCACUUAAUAGGGGGUUCACGGUUUAUGUGUACUCCAUUAGCAAUGUCGGACAGAAAUUUGCCCUAUUUGAAUCCGUUCUUAUUAAUACACUUCCUGAAGUCGACAACCCGCUUGGUAAGUUCAUGGAGCAGGAAGAAGUCCAAUACAAUACAUAUGUUUGCUAUUAGUUGUUCACCGUUCUUGUGCCACAUCAACAUUGCCAUCAUUUUUAAAUGUUGAAAUGAUCAAAUCAUUAUAAUCAGUGUACGUACACUUUCAUCAUAUUUUACCAUGUUUGUAGAUUUUAUAUACAUGGUGGCAAGUAGUGUACGUAUAUUAAUGCAACAUACUGAACUUCCGACCCAUACACUAUGUGUUAUAAGCUUGGCAAAAAAAUCGUUGUCCACUUUGCGAAACCGAAAAGUGUGUGAAUCCUGUAAAUCAAGUAAAAUAUUUGAUAACAAGCUUAAGUAAGUAAAAAGAUGAUGGAAUAAUUAGUAAUCCAAUAUAAUAGAAUAUACUUACAAAUUGUCUCCUUUAAGGAUAUUGGUUAAUUGCUCUACUUUCGAAGGGUCAACCAUGUAUAGGGGGUUGUAUGAGACAUUUCCAGCCUCUGACUGUUUUGAGUUGGUACAUCCUCCACCAAGACUGUUGUUCCCUUAAAACCUCCAGGAAGGGCAUCAUCAAGUUCAUAGACUAGUUGUUUCUUCACUUUUUUUGGGACCUUACGGGUUGCAUUUUUUUCUUCUUUUGCUUCAACUGCAACAUCAUUGUCUGAUUCAUCUUGUAAACAAAUAUGAUUGUCAACAACUGUUUUAUUCGUUUUUCUAUAAUACGUCCAUGGUAAAAAUAGAUACAUACAUUAUUUUUAGGAAUAGGGACGGUUUUAUCUGCUUCAUCUGACCUUGGGUUUGGAUGAAGGAAUUUGUACCAUGUUUAUAACGAUUUAUAAAACUAAUCACAAAUUCAAUUGCCAAGAACUGUGUAAACAAAGAAUUAAAUCUAGAUCAAAGGGUUUGAAUAUACCUUGAUAUUCUGCAGCGGAAAGAUGAACCAUAUUGUUUCAAGGUUGUUUUAGCACCCCAAGUGUUGUGCCUCUACCGGUAUCCACACGCACACAAACUGGAUCAGAUUUAGAAUGCUAGUUCUUUUGAGGUCUUAUCUCAAAACUCAGACAAACUAUUUGUCUCUAUAUUUUUAGGGUUUUGUGAUCAAAAGUGUAUCUCACAAAAGUUGCUAAUAUAUCAUAUAUAUAGCCAAACGUUUAACCCUAACCAAUUAUGGUUAAUAAUGGGCCAAAGCCCAAUAACUCUUUUUAUUGAUCUAUUUUGCUUAGGUGUGUGACCCUGUAGGUUUGUAUAAUAUUAGUAAUAAGUUAUAACUCAUAGAUUAUAAGCGGUCUCUAGCAAAACAUUAUAACCACCUAAUAUUAUACAAAUAUCAAACCUCGACAUUACAACUUUAACUAGAGUAAAGUACAACUGAUUUCAGGACAUUCCCAACAAUCUUCCACGUGUACUGGAAUCAUCUAUUCCCAUAAUCCAUUUGUCUCUAUAUCUCGAUCUCAGCAUAAGGCAAGAAAUUGUCAUCCUUAUUCAGCUAGACCAUGUUUAUCGAACUCCGAUUUAUACUGAUAAAACAAACGACUGACAUUCACCUCGUUUGAGCGCGGCCACGCAUUUCUCAGUAUCAAAUCUUCGAUAGGCCCAAAGAUAUUUAUCUCCCGUUAUAUGGGAGGGACAAAUCCCAUCUUGUUCCAUCCAUGUUCCUUAAACAAUUCAUAACGUGCCCAAUCACUGUCUUUAUAAUCACCUUUUACGGCUAACGUUUGACAGAAUCAAAGCGAACUAAUCCAUGAAUAAGAAAUCAUGACGAACUCAGGUCAAAGGACUAUACUCUAUAGUUGUGAUGAGAAACUCUUAUGACACUCAUAUAACAAUCUUGUAGAGUUCUCAUAACGGGUCAGUCCAAUACUGUGUUCUCUAACACAUAUCUAUGUGAUUGACUUAAUACCACAUAUUAAUGACUCCAUGAAACUUAGUCAUCAGUCACUUCACAUACUAGUCAUUCUUAGUUAUUAAUGUCCCAUUUUAAUAACCUUGAUUAGGGACUUUAAUAAUCUAUGUCAUUUUCCACUUACAGGGUUUCAUGAUCAAGUCACGUACUUGAUGACCUAUAAGAAUGAUAUAAAUUAUUUGGGACUAUUAUUUAAUUAUCAAAUAAAUAAAUAAUACUGAAACAAAUUUCAUUAAUUUGAAAAUAAAUCCAAAUGUAUUUUAACAUGAACAUCAUAUCAUAAAAGAAAAACACCUCCCACUAGAAAUAAGAUCACAUCUUUAUAAAUCUAAUGCCAAUCGCAGCAGUAUGACUCUCAUGCUUUGGCUGCGCAAGAGGUUUGGUAAAAGGAUCAGCAACAUUUGCAUCCGUUGAAACUCUGCUAAUCUUCACAUCACCUCUAUCAAUAAUCUCACGAAUGAGGUGAUAUCGCCUUUGUAUGUGUUUGGAUUUCUGGUGUGAUCUAGGUUCUUUUGCUUGCGCGAUGGCACCAUUGUCAUCACAGUAAAGAUCAAUGGGACCAGAAAUACUAGGAACCACACCAAGUUCAGUAAUGAACUUCCUAAUCCAAACAGCCUCCUUAGCCGCUUCAGAAGCAGCUAUAUACUUAGCUUCAGUUGUAAAGUCUGCCACAGUGCUCUCUUUGGAACUCUUCCAACUCACUGUUCCUCCGUUGAGACAAAAGACAAAUCCUGAUUGUGAUCGGAAAUCAUCUUUGUCUGUUUGAAAGUUGGCAUCAGUAUAACCACUCACAACAAGUUCCUCACUUCCUCCAUAGACCAAAAACUUAUCCUUAGUUCUUCUCAAGUACUUAAGGAUGUUCUUGACUACUAUCCAGUGACUUUCACCUGGAUCAGAUUGGUAUCUGCUCGUCAUGCUCAAAGCACAUGCAACAUCUGGGCGAGUGCAGAGCAUAACAUACAUGAUAGAUCCUAUAGCAGAAGCAUAUGGAAUCUUACUCAUCCGCUCUCGCUCAUCAUGCGUCGAAGGACACUGAGUCUUGCUAAGAGUUAUGCCAUGAGACAUUGGUAUAAAGCCUUUCUUAGAAUCAUGCAUAUUGAACCUGUGCAAGACCUUAUCUAUAUAAGUAUCCUGACUUAGUCCAAUUAUUUUGUUUAAUCUAUCUCUAUAGAUUCUUAUUCCAAGAAUAUAGGCAGCUUCACCCAUGUCUUUCAUCGAGAAACAAAUUCCAAGCCAAGUCUUAACAGACUGAAGCAAAGGAAUGUCAUUUUCAAGGAGCAGUAUGUCAUCUAAAUACAAUACCAGAAAUGCGACUGCGCUCCCACUAGUCUUCUUGUAAACACAAGGUUCUUCUUCGUUUCUAAUGAAAUCAAACUCUUUGAUUGCCUCAUUAAAACAAAGAUUCCAACUCCGAGAUGCUUGCUUCAAUCCAUAAAUGGAACGAUGAAGCUUGCAUACCUUCCUAGCAGCCUCAAGAACAGUGAAACCUUCAGGCUGUGUCAUGUACACAUCCCCUUCGAGAUUUCCAUUAAGGAAAGCUGUUUUCACAUCCAUUUGCCAAAUCUCAUAAUCAUAAUGAGCAGCAGUUGCUAGGAGAAUCCGAAUGGACUUAAGCAUUGCGACUGUAGAAUAGGUUUCAUCAUAGUCAAUACCAUGAACUUGAUUGUAACCUUUCGCAACCAGUCUAGCUUUGUAUAUCUGUAUAUUACCAUCCUUGUCAAUUUUCUUCUUGAAUAUCCAUUUACACUCUAUGGCUUUUACACCAUCAGGUAAAUCAACCAAAGUCCAUACUUUGUUUUGUGACAUGGAUUCCAUUUCGGAUUUCGCGGCCUCUAACCACUUAUCGGAAUCAGGGCCCAUCAACGCUUCUUCGUAUGACGUAGGUUCAUCACUCUCUAUCAUAAAUAGAGCAUGAUCGUCCAUCACCCAAUCUCCGAAUCUAUCGGGUUCGUGACGGCUCCUUUCGGACCUACGUACCUCAGGUUCCACAUGUAUAGGUUCUACGACUCUUCGUAGAUCCAAUCUAUGUUCUUCCUGAGAAGUUGGAACAUCACCAUGUGGUUCUCGAACUUCUUCGAGUAAUAAUUUACUCCCACUAGUUCCUUUUGAAAGAAACUCUCUUUCCAAAAAGGCACCAUUUCGGUCAACAAACACUUUGUUGUCAGUAGGGUGGUAAAAGUAAUAACCUUUGGUCUCUUUCGGAUAACCUACGAAGUAGCACUUAUCAGAUUUGGGUCUAAGCUUAUCAGUAAUCAAUCGUUUGACAUAAGCUUCACAACCCCAAAUUUUUAGAAAAGACAAAUUAGGAACCUUUCCUGUCCAUAUCUCAUAUGGUGUCUUCUCAACUGAUUUUGAUGGACAUCUGUUGAGCAUAAACGCAGACGUUUCUAGAGCAUAUCCCCAAAAGGAUGGUGGAAGAUCUGUGUGACUCAUCAUUGAUCGAACCAUAUCCAAUAAAGUUCGAUCCUCCUUUCAGAUACACCAUUCCACUGUGGUGUUCCCGGAGGAGUGAGCUGUGAAACAAUUCCACACUCUCUGAGAUGAUCACUAAAAACUUGGCUCAAAUAUUCUCCUCCACGAUCUGAUCGCAGAGCUUUGAUCGAUUUGCCAAGUUGAUUUUGUACUUCAUUCUGGAACUCCUUGAACUUUUCAAAGGAUUCCGAUUUAUGUUUUAUUAGAUAAUUAUAACCAUAUCUACUGAAGUCAUCAGUAAAUGUAAUGAAGUACUGAUAGUUUCCUCUAGCACUUGUACUCAUUGGCCCACAUACAUCUGUAUGUAUUACGCCCAAUAAGUCACUAGCCUUCUCACUGUGUCCAGUAAACGGGGCUUUAGUCAUUUUUCCCAACAAACAAGAUUCACAUGUCUCAUAAGAUUCAUAAUCAAAUGAGUUCAAAAGUCCAUCACUAUGAAGCUUUUGAAUGCGUUUCUCGUUUAUAUGGCCCAAACGACAAUGCCAGAGAAAAGUCGGAUUCAAGUCAUUAGACUUAAAUCUCUUGGUACGAAUGUUAUAGAUUGACAUGCUUUGGUUUAGAACAUAGAGCCCAUUCUCUAAUGGAGCGCUACCAUAAAACAUAUCAUCUCGAUCAAAUGAACAACAUUUGUUCUUGAUCGAAAAGUGAAAACCUUCCAUGUCCAAACAUGAAACAGAGAUGAUAUUCUUAUUUAUAGCAGGAACAUAGUAGCAGUUCUUAAGCUCCAAAACCAUGCCUGAAGGUAAAGACAACGAAUAUGUUCCCACGGCCAAUGCAGAGACUUUUGCUCCAUUAGCCACACGUAGGUCCACUUGUCCUUCCUCCAAAGUUCUACUGUUGUUUAGGCCAUGCACAUUUACACAAAUGUGAGCACCACAACCGGUAUCCAAUACCCAAGGAGUAGAACCAGAUGUAGUAACAUUUACUUCUAUAACAUAGAUACCCGAAGAAGAAAUCUUGAAUGUUUUCUUCUUCUCCAGAUCUUCCAAGUAUGCAGGAGGGUUUGAUUCAUUCAAUUUGUCCUUCUUAAGGACAUCUCGAACUGAAUAGGAACUUUGAGGGGUUGACAUAACUGUCGAAAAAGAAAAGCAGAUAUUAAUAUGAUGUUCAUAAAUUUUAGAAUUCUCAACAAUUAAGAAAACUAACACUAUACUCCAAACAAAUUUCCUCUAAGAGUAUAAUGAUCCAAAAUCCAUAUUUUACUAGAAUCCAAGUGAGCUUUGGCUCCACCCCUGAAUAUCUAGUUAUUUAGGUAAGCAACACCUUGCUAAUUAUAUCCAAUAUAAUUCUUGGUUGUGGAUGACAUCUAAUGUCUUAUCCAACUCUAUGUCUCUAAGCCCAAAACCGUUUUGAUAACUUAGUCAAGUAAACCAAUUUUAUUUCAUAUGGUAACCGUUACCAUCUGUUUCACUCUUAAGCAAUUACAGACCGCUGCUUUGGCAGACCCGCCAUACAACAACUCAAGUUUUAACAGUUAAUAAAAUUGGAGAGACAUCAACUUACUUGAUAUUAGAUGAGGAAUUAAUUUUAUAACUUAAUUUUAUAUUUAAAUUUAUAUCCAAUAUAAAUAAAAUAUAAGUAAUACAUAUCCAAUAUAUAUUUAAUUGAAUUAUAAACAAUUUAGAUAAUCUUAAUCAAAUUAAAAUUAUUAAUUAUCGAGAAAGUUAAUCUUAUUAAAUUUUAAUAGAUCUAAUCAGAUUAAAACAUAAUAUAAUCGAAUUUAUCCUAAUCAAAUUAGAAUCUAAAGAAUUAUCACGAAUAUAUGUUCAAAUCAAAAUCCAUACAUAAUUAUUAGGAAAAUUGACUUUCUCCUUCUCAAGAAGAUAAAUCACAAACCAUAAUAUAUUCGAUUAUCUUUUUGGUAAGAGAAAUAUAUUGUAUGAGGAACAAUUCCAAAUUAAACAAAGAUUCUCAUUAUUAUCCAUAACGUGAUAUACACAUAUUAUAUAAAAUAUUUAAAUCUAAUUAAAUAUCCCAAACAUGUUCUACUUCUCAUAAUCCAAUUAUGACACAACCAAACACGAUCAUUCUAUUAUAAUACCAUUUUCCAUGUGUAUGUAUUAUUCUAAGCAAACAUAUCUUAAAUCAGUUGAAUGCAUAGAAACGUUUUCAUACGAAUAAAUUAAGAAACUAUACAUCAAUUCACGAUAAUGACAUUCACGAGAAGGUGUUUUAACAAAACGAAAUUCAUCAAUUUCAUUCAUGUUUAAUUAGAUCAAUUAUUUAAUUUUAUCGUACUCUUAUUAACCAUUAACAACUACGAACGUAAACACAUUCUCUUAUUAUAAUUCACACUUCAUAAACGUAUAUCUCAUAUACGAAACAUGUUCUAUUAGGCGAAUUCGUUUCUACCAUGUUUAACAAAUUAAAUUUCACAAAUUUCAUCAUGAUAAACAAAUAACAAUUACUUAUCCAUAUCAUAAUAUAGAUUAAACUAGAUUCAAAUUCAGUAUUAAAAACCUCGCUCUGAUACCACUGAAGGAAUUUGUACCAUGUUUGUAACGAUUUAUAAAACUAAUCACAAAUUCAAUUGCCAGGAACUGUGUAAACAAAGAAUUAAAUCUAGAUCAAAGGGUUUGAAUAUACCUGGAUAUUCUGCAGCGGAAAGAUGAACCAUAUUGUUUCAAGGUUGUUUUAGCACCCCAAGUGUUGUGCCUCUACCGGUUCCACACGCACACAAACUUGAUCAGAUCUGGAAUGCUAGUUCCUUUGAGAUCUAAUCUCAAAACUUAGACAAACUAUUUGUCUCUCUACUUUUAGGGUUUUGUGAUCAAAAGUGUAUCUCACAAAAGUUGCUAAUAUAUCAUAUAUAUAGCCAAACGUUUAACCCUAACCAAUUAGGGUUAAUAAUGGGCCAAAGCCCAAUAACUCUUUUUUUAUUGAUCCAGUUUGCUUAGGUGUGUGACCCUGUAGGUUUGUAUAAUAUUAGUAAUGAGUUAUAACUCAUAGAUUAUAAGCGGUCUCUAGCAAAACAUUAUAACCACCUAAUAUUAUACAAAUAUCAAACCUCGACAUUACAACUUUAACUAGAGUAAAGUACAACUGAUUUCAGGACAUUCCCAACAUUGGAUCCUCAUUUCCUCUAGACCCGUCGACAAUACCCGUCUCUUCCAACACUCCCUGUAGAAGUUAACGUACACAAGUCUCUAUAAUGUACACAUAUAAUCCUAUGUAUGCUAAUAAGUGCGUAGGAAUUGAAACACACAAAUUGUUACCUCGAUAACAUUAGUUGCAUCCAAAUCAACGGAGCCUUUGGUUUCCAACUCGCGUGUCACCUCCAUAAUAUAAAUUUUAUAAAUUUGAACAAUUCAUAGUGAAUUUUAUUUUCAUAUAUAGUUAACUUACAUUGUUAACUACUUCAAAUGGUGAAGGGGGAUCACUGUGGGUCUCCUCAGGUACUUCCACUUUCAUCCCUGGUACUAAUUUGGAUUCAGCUGCCGCCUCAACUUGUUGAAUUUAACAUCGGAUAGCUGCAUUUUUAGUUAUGUAUGAAAUAAUCUAUGUACACAGACCAUAGCGAAAACAAAAUGUAUGUACACUUGUGGCGGGUUUGUCGUUAAGUUCAGACUCACGAGAUGUAUCUCCAUCAGAAGGCUCACCAAUUUUUUCUUCCUCGCAAACAUUAGCUUCAGUCGCAGCACUGGCAUCACUUUCUUCUCCCUGAAACAAAUACAGUGUAAUCCAGUGUCAACAAUCUCUGCUUCAGUGGACGAAGAAUCCAGUCCAUCUUUUGCAGUAAAAUCACUUUCAUUAUUGGCUUCAUCCUGUAAGCAGACAGUACAGUUAUACGUACAUAUGGAUUUGAAAAUAUUUAGGAAUGUACGUACAUGCCAUACCUGGUCAUCAAUGAAUCCUUGCAUAUCUUCCUUAUUGGAAUCAGAGAGCUCAAUAGUGUCGACAGUAAAAGAAACCCUCUUCUUCGGCCUUGAAGAAUUUCUUCUUCCGCCGACAACAAUGGUAGGUAGUCCAGGGACAUCCAAAUCUUCCUCUUUGGAAUUACCACCAACAGAAAGAGCAGGAGUGUCCACAUCAUGAGAAACACGAUUCAGCCUUGAAGACUUUCUCGUUCUAGUGCUUCCUUUUGUAGACAUCCUUCUCGAUGCCUUCUUCGCACUCACCAGUGCCUUAUCCAUAGAUGUAGGUGUUUCCCGUGAAUCAUGGGAAGGUAUGGUUUGUUCUGGCUUUUUGCCUAUUGGAUCAAGGGCAGCACGUAUCUCCUGAUGGACAAAGUGUUUCAUAUCUUCUUGCAUUUGAUUCAUUUGGGCUUCCUGCUUCUUGAAACACCUCCUCAUUUCAACUAAACACCUCUCAAGCACCGGCUCUCCACGACAAUCCUCAUCAUUUUCUUCAUUAUCACAUUCAACAACAGAUUUCUAUUUUUUCAUAGCAGGUGCUUUCGGGCUCGGGCCCGAUGCAUUUCUUUUCCUCUUGACACCUACAAUAUACCAGUUGCUGCUAUUUAUUGGUUUUCUUCUUGGUGCAAUAACCAGAAAAUAUGAAAACAACAUUUAUACUUACCUAUCUCUUCUUGUUGUUGUGGGCGCACCUGCUUUGUUACUCCAGUAUAACCUCGAUCCCAUUCAUCCUCCUGCCACUCGUGCCCAUCUAUCAACAGUCGCUCAAUGUAAUCAACUUUUGGAUCAUCAACUUCAUCAUCAGCCUACACAUUGUCCGAUGGUUUCAGAAUAUAGUUGACCUCAACCUACACAAAUAAGUUUGUUAACCAUAGAGAAUGUACACUUACUUUUUAUGUACGUACAUAAACAAUUGAACACACCUCAUCAGCAGCCUCACACUCCAAUAUGCUAGAUGUCCGGAUUGCCUGCAGUGAGGAAAGCCGAUGGAUAGACCUCUGAGUAAAUGUCCUGUUAGCUUGAUCAUCAUGUACUAGCUUAGCAAUGGAUGAGAGUGUUUCAAAAGCAAAUAGUUGGAGUUCUAAUGGGAAGCCAUAAAGUGCAUAAGACCCAUCCAGUAAACACCUUAUCAGUAGUUCAACAUCAGAAGGUGUUUGUAAUUUUGCUAUCCUGCCCAAAGUACGGGUAAAAGACACCCUUCCCCAUGGGUAUUUGAAGAACAAUUCCACGUUCUUCGUCUUUUCAACAGUCUUCAAAAUCGGACUGUUGGGGUUAUUGUGGGACGCUAUCACACCAUCUACCAGAAUUGUAAGAGAGAGAACCAGUUGCUUCCACCCUUCCAUGCUUUCCUCCUCCUUCACCCAGCUCACCAAUUCAGCAAUAGUUGGAUUCGGUUCCUUCCCAAACCUCGGCCUAAACAGAGUCUUCCAAACACUUUUACACCCAAGUUUCACCUUUAUAACAGCCUCCACGGCUUUCUUCUUGGGAUACUUCCCACAUUCCAGUCCAGUUAUGAUACAAAAUUCUAUUAAUCCAAAUCUGAUAGGAUGACCGCCGAAUACCAUCCACAUCUCAUUCACCUUCUUUGUCACUAACUGGCGGCAUAUUAGUCCAAGAACAAGCUUACCAGAGAAGGAAGACUUGUUUGCAUGUAUUUUAGAAAGAUCCCCAAAUGGAGAAUCGAGAAGAAACUGCAUCUCUUGUUUUCCCUUGAAUACACUUGCUAUGUUAGAAAUGUACUCCGGUUUAGAGUACGCGUUCAUCUUCGUCUUGACAGGGUACCGGUCUAGAGCAAAGAGUCUUUGUGGUAACUCUUCAACCAUAAGAUCUUCAGUCGGAGCAACACUUGUACUGCCUGCAAUUAAAAGUGAUAUACAAUUAGGCAAUACGAAUUCCUGUACGUACACAGGAAUUAUCCAGAUUAUAACUCAAAAUCUGAUUUUUGGCGGAAACAGAAAUUUCCAAUUCAACUUCUCAAAAUUCCAUCCUAAAGAUAUGCUAAAUUCCGACUAGUUCUAACCCUUUAAUCAAACAAGCUUUACGAUUCCGAUACACCCAAAGACAACAGACGAUAAAUUAGAGAUACUAACCCAGCUCCUCUGUUGCCUUUGUCGGAGAGAGUUUUCUCCUCGGGGAAACUCUGAGUACCCGCUUCUCCUUCUCUGGACCAGUAUCCUGGGUAUGUUGCUUUGUCGGGACUUCGUCGUUUGCUUUAUUCCCAGCCAUAGCAAAAGUUGCUAUCUCGCCAGAGGUUCCUCACUUCGCUCAAAAAACUGCAACUUUCUCUUCGCCGGAUUUUGGAGUUCAGUGGCUCAAUUCAACUACCCAACAAUUCGAAGUGAUGUCGAAAUAUGAAGGAGUGGAUAAUGAAUUUUGAACUUCUUUCUAUUUCUCUCUCAAAUCUCUCCGCCCCUUUCUCUUUCUCAUUUUCUUCUUCUUCGGUUUCUUCGUUUCAUUUUUUUUUUUUCAAAAACUGAACCGUAGAAACUAAACCGAAACCAACUCAUGUGCGGUUUGGUUGCUUCCAUUAAGGAUAUUUUGGUCCGAAAAUGAUUGACAAGACAAACGGUAAAAAUCAUAUCUCACUUUGACAAAUCAUGGGAGUAAUUCUUUUUUCGUCCACUAAUGUGAAAAAUUCUUUUUAAUAUAUUGCAAAUUUUAUUUUUUAUUUUCUCAUGUUAAUAUAUGAAGACAAUAGCCAUCUCGCGUUUUCACGCCUCCCUCAAGCUCAGACGCGAACAACGAGAGAUUGUGCUUCCUGAAUUCUCAUAAUUGAGAUACCAUAACUCAAACGGUGUGUGACUAAUUUGUCAGAUCGUCAAUGUUUUAAGGCCCCACGUUCGAAUUCUGAUGAUUAGAUCACCCAGAAAAGUGGAUCUCCAUGGAUAAUGCUUUUCCUUGACGACGGUUGUGUGAUGUACAACCCGAAAGAAGGCAAAAUUGAAAGGAGUCUGAUAGAAUCCUCAGGGAUUUGGUUCCUGACAAACUCAGAUAAAUGGUGUCUAAUGUUAUAUUCUGGAUGCAAUUUAGCUAUUAUAGAUGUGUUUAGCCAGGAUAGGAGGAUCAAUUUUCUGCCUCUAGAGUCGCUCCAAUCAGAUACAUAUACUCUCAAGCGUGUGGUAGAUAAGGAAUACUGUUUUGAAUUACCUAGUGGCGAUUAUUGCAACGAGAACGCCGAUGAUCUGAGAGGCCGUUUGUGGGUAGACAAGAAGACGGGAGAGUUCGUUGUAGUGUGGUUCUUUAACCCUUAUACCUAUUUAUUCUAUUGCAAGAAGGGGGAUACUCAUAACACUGUCAUUCCCUUGUCUGACCAGGUCCCCAAGGUUGUAAAUGGCUUAACUGAUCUAGUACUCUGGGGUUACCGUCUUUACAUCGCAACCAAACGUCGUUUCGCUCGAGUUAUUGAUUUGUCUGGAUAUCAAAGGUUUCGAGGAUGUCACCGGGAGUAACCCAAAGCAAAUGUUUUCCCCUCUCGGAGAACAUAAUUCUUUUAGCAUUGCGGAUAUAAUAUCAGGAGAGGUUUUGUUGGUUGAGGGCAUAACCUUUGAAAACUAGAGGAUCUUUUGUCUCUUCAAAGGAUCCUAACAACUUAGACGACCCACAUGUCUACCACCACCCCCCCCCAAGCUUCUUGAGGUAGAUUCUCUUGGUGAUGAAGCCCUUCUUCUUGACUUGGGUAUUACCAUGCCUGCUAACCAUACCCUAGGUAUCAAGCCAAACUCUAUCUAUUUUACUCGUCAUGACCGUGCCCGUUUUAAAAUCCCUUUUGAUCUGGACAUAUAUGUGUUCAAUCUUGCAACCAAGACCCUCAAACGCUUCCCUCAACUCGCCAACAUGAAUCUCAAGGAUGCUCAAUGGUUUCACCCCAUGACUUGAACGCCACAAUACAUGCUUUCUCUUUUUAAUUGGCAUUGUAUUUUCUCUCUUUUUAUUUCUGUCUUUGUAUUAAAUUAUAUGACAUUGCCACUUGCUGGACACCUUACUUGGCACUUUCUUUGUUAAACCCUAACCGUCAUGUAAAUUUGUUUGAUAUAAAUCUUGAUUCAGGAAAAAGUCUCCACAUCUCAAUUCGUUUCAACGCUUUGUUUGAUGUAUGUAUGGUCAGACUUAGUUUGAUGUAUGUUGGAAAGUUUGUCUAGUCUUGAAGACCAAGGACUUAACUACUGUCAGCAACUUCAGUUUGAAUCUUCGCUUUGUCCUGACAUUGUAUUAAAAUUAAAUUUACAAUGCUUGUAAGACGAUGCAUCAUGUGGUCGCCAAUUUGGUGUCUUACCAUAUCCUUUUGAAGGUAUAGAAAGAUCUAGGUCUCUUCGCAAAUUGUACUCUUUGUUGAAAUAUAUGUAUCAGUUGGCAAAGGAUUUAGAGUCACACAUAUCAUUACCAAACGACGAAUUUGUUUUAUAAUGUAACUUUGUUUUAUGAGAUUCUCCAGCACUUACUUUGGGAGAGAAAACGCCGGAGGAGUAGACGAAUCAGAAUAUUUUAUUAGAUAGUGUUGUUUUUUGUUGAUUUUUGAGUCUAUAAAUCUAUGCAUUAUUAUUUUUUAUUUUAUUUUUUAUUUGAGCAUUUUAUUUAUAACAAGAUAAGUUUGUAUGUUUGAGAAAGUAUCAAUAUAAUUUGUAUCUUAGUCGGUAGUGUAUAGGUGUGGGUUAAUCAAAGGAGUCGGGUUCGAGUCUCAAUUUUGUUAAAAAAAUUUAAAGCCAAAACGACGACGUUUUAUAAUCUAAAAGAACUUCUAACUGGAUAUUUAACCCUGUUAAUUUUUCCAUCAGUUGACUUCACGUUACGUGUAAAACGGCCGAGUCAACAAACUUUCAUAAUUGACUUUGAAGUCAACCAAAACUUCAUGAUUUUAAUGGCGAUUCUAAAGUCCAAGCUUUUUACAUCCCAUUUUUGAAAGUUCAAGCUUUUUUUGACAUUUUUCCUUAAGUUAGUAGAGAAAAAAAAAAAAGUAGGAGAUUUUCAUUUAUAUUGUUUUUAUCACAUAAUGGUAGGCAUAAAACUAAAAAAUUAAAAUCUUCUAGAGCUAGGGUCAUAGAUUCAGGAGCUAGUCAUCAUGUUACUCAUGAAAGAAACCUUUACAAAGAUUACAAAUCCUUAGAAAGAACUUAUGUUAGAUUACCCAAUAGUCAAACAGUUAAGAUAGAUGGGAUAUGUAACAUUCAACUUACUGAUGCUUUACUUUUAUAAAAUGUGUUUCAUUUCUCUGAAUUUAAGUUCAAUCUAUUGGGUGUCAGUGUAAUAACUAAAUCUUUAAAUUCUAAAGUGAGUUUUACUUCUGAUGAUUGCGUGAUAUAGGCUCUUACUCAUGACCUAUUGAUUGGCAAAGGUAGUUAAGUCGCAAAUUUGUAUGUCUUGAGUUUGGAUAAGUAUCUUAUUCAUGUCUCUGAUCAUACUUUUCAAGGUAAGUCUAUUUGUUCUAUCACUGUUGAUACUUUAGAUGUUUGGCAUAAGAGAUUAGGGAUCCAUCUGUUGCUAAGAUUGAAUCUCUCUCUGAAAAACUGUUAUUACCAAAGUCAAAGAUAAAUAAUUGGUUAGCACCUAAACAAUUUCAUCUUCAGGCCAUUCACAAGAUUCUGAAAUUUGUGAAGGGAACAAUUGGUCAGGGAUUGUUUUAUGGAAGUGGUGAUGUUUUCUCCAUUAGUGGUUUCUGUGAUGAUGAUUGGAGAGCUUGUCAAGAUUCUAGACGAUUAGUCAAAGGAUUUGCUAUCUUGAUUGGUCAAUCUCUUAUCUCAUGGAGGUCCAAGAAACAGAGUAUGGUUUCAAUGAGUUCAGCAUAAUCUGAAUACAGGGCUAUGAGCAAGACCACUAAAGAACUGAUCUGGUUUACUUACAUUCUCAAAGCUUUGCGAAUUCCUUUCACUCUUCCUUGUUAUCUGUACUGUGAUAACAAAGCUGCUCUUCACAUAGCUCAGAACUCUGUUUAUCACGAGAGAACUAAACACAUUGAGUUCGAUUGCCACCAAGUUCGUGAAGCUACUGAUAAUGGUGUUAUGAAGACCAUGUUUGUAAGGAUAGACAAUCAACUUGCAGAUGUCCUUACCAAAGCUCUUCAUCCAGCUCCAUGUAGAGAGAACAUGCGCAAGAUGGGAGUCCUCAAUAUCUACUCGUCUCCAUCUUGAAGGAGGGUAUUAGGAUUGAAAUGUGUUGAGCUGGUUCAGCUGGUUAAGUUAAUUCACUACAAGAAAUUUGCUCAUUGUUAGCGCUAAAAAUUUGCUAUCUUACGUUAUCGAUAGCGAAUUCACAAACGCUAUGUUCUCGGUAGCUAUGGUAGGUGUCACUCCUACGAUAGCGGUUUUGGACAUGCUAUUAUAGUUAAUGAUAUAAUAGCAAAAUUGGAACGCUGUUUUAAAUAGUAAUAUAGCACUUUAAUGUUUUGUUAAAAAAUAACGACGAUUUUAAUUUCGUGCCAUAAUAGGUUAUUCUAUGUUAGCAAUUAGUUCGUGCCAUAAUAGAUUUUUUUUUAGCAUUACUUUUUAUGCUAUGAUAUAUGAUUCUUCUACCAUAAUAGUAAAUAAUUGUUAAGUUUUGUUUAUUUAUGCGGUUUAGUUAUGCUGUAAUACAAUCUUUCACAACUUGUUUGUUUUUGCUAUUAUAUGAAUUUCCAGAACCCAACAUAGAGAAAAAAAGUCUGAAUAGAAAUUUCAUCUAAAGUCAGAAUCAAAAACAACAUAGAGGAAAAAUCCAUACAAAUCAUUCAACAUAACAUAAGUCUAAAUCAUAAGUCUAAAUCCAAAGUAGACAACAAGUGUUAUUCUGAAUUACAUAAUACAGGUUGAUUAGUCUAGUCUAAGACUACUUUAAACUAGCUACCCUGGACCAAAGUUUCUUCAUUCCCUGCAAUAAUCAACAAUGUCUCAUUUCAGUUUCGUAUAUAAAACCAAAGUACAAGGAUCACUGUAAUCUAGAAACUUACCCAGUUUAUUCUUAAACUCAAUAGAUGACAAACUUAUCCAUUGGCCAUGCAAUAGAUGAACCAAGUGAAUCUCUCAUAUAAUCGAUUUCAUCUGAUGCCCUCCAAACUGUUGCAUCAUCUAUUUUCACUAUAUCCACCCAAACUCUAGCUACAUUAGCUCCCAAGCGAACAUUGUGUACCUUUUGGUCUGGGUCGACUGGAUGCACACGUCCUUUAGCAACCACCUGCUUCCUUCCACUGAUAUCCAUUAACUUACACUUCUGAUUGGCCUUGAUAACUUCAGCUACACCUUUACGCUGCCAUGUUACAAUAUAAACCAGUUUUAAUGUAUGUAGAAAAAUAAUCAGAUUCAAUACGUAAUAACAACAAACAAAAUACCGGAGAUCUUCUCAGAGGGAGUUGUGAAUCCAGCAGUUGAAUUUUCUUGACAAGAGACUUUGAACCUGUAGCUGUGGACUUCUUAGCUAUGCCCUUUGAAACUGUUGCAACGGAUUUUGUACUUUUUGCUGUAGAUAUCUCAGGGGAUGGCUUAUAACCUACUGUUGCAGUUUGUGAACCUGAUGCUGCUGCUUUCCUGGACGCUGCUGCUUUCUCUGAUCCUGCUGACUUGCCUACUGAUGCUGCUGACUUGCCUACUGAUGCUGCCGACUUGCCUACCGAUGCUACUGCUUCCAAUGGUGAUUUUCCUCUUGCCGCAGAAUUGUGAAGUGGAGAUAUGUGGCAUGUUGCAUCUGCAGGGUUUUCAAAGAUAACUUUGUUGACAGGCCAUGGAAAGGUAAGUCAUUAAACAGUCCUCAAGGUAAGUCACAUCCAUCGUUGACCUCCAUAUAAAUGUCUCUGGUUGAAGAAUUGCAUCGACAUAUAUCUUCACUAUUGGAGGUCCGAGAGGAUUCCCAUUGACUAAUGCAUUUUGUUCUUGUGUCUGCCAACGUCCUUCUGCAACAACAACAUCAUUUGAAGACAAAUCAAAAAGCUGGCAUUUGUUAUUUGGUCCCUGUCAAAAAUAUUGAAACCCGGAAAUACAUUAUGUUAAUAGAAGAUCAUUACUCUAUAUAUGAGAAUGAGACUGAAUAAUAAACUUUACCUGGCCUACAAUGUCUUCUUAUUGGAGAUCCUCUUCUAGGCUAACACACAUAGCAGCAGGCCAUGCAAUCAUAUGUUCAACGGCUUUCUCAAUGGUGAACAUGUUAGCCGCAGGUCUCCAAAGGAAUGCUUCUGGUUCAAUAUCAGUGUCAAUCAAGACUUUAACAUCGGUAGGACCUAAGCGACAGUCAUUCACUAAUUCACCCAGAUCAUAAGGAAUAAUACAUCCCUCAGCAAUUUUUGCAUACGAACCAGCCCAAUCAAGUAAGACACAUUUUGGUUGUGUCCUUUUGUUCACACUCUGUAAAAGAAAAAGAUAGACAAAGUAUUAAGUGAGUGUAUCUGUUAGAGCAAAUCAAAGCAUAUGAUAUGAGUGACUUACUCUUGAAGCUGAGUUUUCACCUACUUCAGGUGAUUGUAUCUGUUACAAAAAGAGAAAAACAAAGUCAAAUCUUAUGUACUAAUUGAGCUGUAAGUCUUUAUAUAUAAAUAGAUAAGUGCACUAACCUGGUUCUUCAUUUUCUCAAUUAUUUCUUGUAGCUCAUUGACCUUCUUUUGUAGACGAAGCUGAUUCUCUAGCAUUUCAGUCAUACACUUGUGCUUCACUUGGAAACAAGCUAACUUGGUCUUAUUCAUAUUGCGACCCAUUGCUCUCAUUCUACCUACCAGGAUUGUCAGGCCCUAACAGUUACCGUAGUGAAUCUUGUGCUUCAUUUGUUGAUGGAUUAUCAUUGUUAACAAUCUCUUCUGCCUUUUUCUGAAACUCAUAAGAUACAUUUUAAAAUAUCAAGUGUGAUUCAAAAUGCCAAAAUGCAAAUCAAACAAAACAAAAUAACUCACAAUCUUUUCAGCAGCAUUCGUAUUCACUUGUGUACCAUCUUUCUUAGUACGUGACUUAACCCAAACCUUUAGCCUUGUCACUUCAGAUGGGUCUGCACUACCAGUUUUCUAAACCAAAAAAAUGAUCUCAGUUAAUACAUAAGUGUUUGGACUUUGGAAAAAGGCUGAGCAAUAUGAACAAUAUAAGUGUGUACAAGUUUUACCAUGUCUUCGGCAAGUCUAACCAUUCCCCUGCGACUACAAGUGUGUGAAAUCUGAUUGCGCCUUCUUUCCUUGUGGCUAUCGCUUACAACCUAACAGAUGAAUGUUAAUUUCUAUUGUAUAUAGAUAAAUUUACAAAUUCCAAAUGCAUAGCUUAAAUUCUUGGCUAGUUUUGAGCUUCACAAAUUUACGCCAAUCAAAAGGAGAAAUGUUUUUAGGUCGCAUGUUCAUCCUCUCUUGGUUAGUCUUAGCUUCUCUAAUGUUUGUAACUGGCCUUGAUUUCCAGGAGCUCCACAAACAUCCCAUCCGCCUAAGCAAUGUAACCUUUUGGUACUCUUCAUCUAGUUCAAACCUUGUUUGCAAUCAAAAACAAAGCAGUUAAGUACUCACCAAUAUCUAAUAAACUUGUAAAUUUUACACAAAGCUUACCUGAACAGAUUUCCAGAGAACAGUCCUGAGUUCUUCACCAAUUUUAGUCCAACGUUCAAUUGUGAUUGGAACGUGUUCUCUUACUAAUGCCCCUACAAAUGCUGCCAGCUUAACUGAGCCUUUAUCAAUAGACUCUCCCAUGUUACUGAACUCUACUCUUACUCUCGCAUUUGGAUCCUUGGCAAUAUCCUUCAGCCUAGUUGGUCCUCGAUGUCUCUUACGCUUUGGCUCAACAUAUUCAUGACCCUCAGAUAAAACAAGCUCUCCUUAAGGUUCUUCCUCAUUGACCUUAUCCGGAUCUCCAUCAACCACCUGAUCUGGAUCUGCUACUUGAUCUGGUUCCAAAUGAUCUUCACCAUUCACCUUAUUUGCAUCUGAUACUUGAACUUCAGCUGGUUCUACAUGUUCCUCAUCAUUGACUUGUGGUUCAAUUGUACCAAUAUACUCGACCUCAUCAUUGACAUUCUUUGCAUUGACCUUUUUUUGUUACUUCUACCUCGCCUUUUCUUCUGUUGUCCCAUCUUAAAUCACCUGAGAAAAAUGAAAGAGUAAAGGGUUAAGUACACCGGAUGCAGAUAAGACAUUGAACACACUGUGGGAAACAGACAUAAAACAUAGAGAAGACAACAAGGAAUGAAAAUGAAACAAAAAAAAACUACAUUUCACAAACAUAUAUUCCUUCACAAUCAGUCCUCUCAUUCUCAGCGUCAUCCAAGUCAGCGUCUAUGUCAACAUUUGGUGGGAAUGUGCCAAUGGCUGCAAUUGAAUAUACAAACUCUUUCUGACAGAAUCUUCUUGAAGAUCCUCUCAAUGCAACAUACCAAGGUGUUGAGUCAUCUUCUCUUAGGUUAAAAACUUGUUUUGCUUGAGAGGCUAGUAUGUACGGAUCCCAUAAAAAUGAGACUUGACUAUGAUUCAGGUUUAUAAGUGUCUUUUGCAUUAGACCUACAGAUAGCAGUUGCCUCAUAGUACACACCACUGUUCUGAGUUUUUUUUAUCCACUGUUCUUGUAUGAAAUCGCUGCCCAUUCACUAUAUAACCAGUAUAUGUCCUUGCACAACUACGUGGACCAUAAGCUAACCAUUUAAGUGUUUCUUCAUGUCUGUUUGAAUCAAGAGGUAUCUAACAAAUUUAAAAAGAAAAUGUCAGACACCUAUAUGCUUACUGAUAAAGUAUAGUGUUCAAGUGUCAUGUGUGAGAGAUAAACAUGCCUGUUUUUUAAGCCAUGAAGCAAAAUUCUGAGUGUGCAUACUCCAUAACAGUGAUGCAUCACGUCUGCAUCUUACAUUUGAGUCUUGUAGAUGUUCCAGGUGCUCACUAAUACAAGGAGAAAUAAGAAGUAGUUAAAGACAGCCAUAUGGAUAAGUAAAAUAUAUAUAGCUAAGUAAAAUGAACAUGCUGACUGGAACUUACUCAACAUAAGAUUCAAAGACUGCCAUAUUUUGGAUGACAACCAUAUGGGCUAUUUUUGUCUCUAUUUCUGUAAGAUUAAUAUAAGAGCCUGCUGAGAUUGGAGGCCCGUCAAGUAUAAAGUUGCUCUCAUACUAAGUAAUUCUAUCAACAUUUUCCUGAACAUUUGUUGUCUUCUUCAAAAAUUCACUAAAAACUGUAUGCAUUCUUCAGCUAGAUAACAAAAUCCUUUAGAACUUUCAUAUAUCUUUCAAACGGAUACAUCCAUCUGAAAUGAACUGGUCCACCUAACCGAACUUCUCUGCCUAAAUGUACUGUCAAAUCCUCCAUUAUAUCAAAGAAGCUUGGUGGGAAAAACCUUUCAAACAGGCAAAGGGUUUCAACGAUCUCAGUUUCUAGUUCCAAAAGUUGCUCCAUAUCAAUUACUCGUCGACACAAGUGGUUGAAGAACGUACAUAUGCCCCUGAUUGCAACCCUAGGACCUUUAGGUAGCAACCCUCUAAGAGCAAUAUGCAGAAGUAGUUGCAUUAACACGUGAUAAUCCUGUGACUUAAGUCCCGUGACCUUACACUCAUCUAAUGAGACGCCUCUUGAUAUGUCUGAGCAGUACCCAUCUGGACCUUUGAAGUCAUACAACUGUUUGAAGUCAUACAACCAUAAGAUGGUCCCUUCUGGCAGUCGACCCUGCGAUCGAGUAUAUCAGUCAUUUCUAUCACUUUUUACUGUUUUCUGCAUCAACAUUAGGACUGUUAGAAAACCAACCAAAUUCUGCCUGGCUUGACUUAGAAACUUCUGAUCAUAUCUCAUCUGUCUGCAUCACACCCAUUUGGAUUGACACCAAAAAUACUACAACGACAGGAUUAGUGUUUUAGGAUAAUUGAGCAAAAACCUAUUAUCAAUUUGGCGCCGUUGUCAACUGGGUGCUUGUUUGCUAUAUUUGAGAUUUCAAAAUUGUUAAGAUCAAGUUCGUUUUUGUUGUAAGAGAUACUAACAUUGUGUCUUUUCAGACUUUGUAUUUCAGGUACUUAGCAACCAACUUUAUUUGUCAGUUAUAGCCAGGUUGUACCUGUUGCAUGCAUACACGGUCACAAGGGAAUCAGAACUUCCUAUUCAACGAUAACAUCGACCGUAUUGCUUGCCAACUGAGAGAACUGAAAGCAACAGACACCAUGGCUGACAUUGUAGAUGAGCAAAAGCAACCUAACAACAUUGGUGUUGGUGACUUCCCUCACAACCACAACCAGUGUCAUGGCAUUGUUCCACCUCCAAUACAGAACAACAACUUUGAGAUCAAAAGCAGCCUCAUUGCAAUGGUGCAGGAGAACAAGUUUCAUGGCUUGCCAAUGGAGGAUCCGCUCGAUCAUCUAGACGAGUUUGAAAGGCUUUGUAGCCUUACUAAAAUCAAUGGAGUUAGUGAAGAUGGUUUCAAGCUUCGCUUGUUUCCAUUCUCACUUGGAGACAAAGCACAUAUGUGGGAAAAGACGCUACCCUAGGGAUCAAUCACGUCCUAGGAUGACUGCAAAAAGGCUUUCUUGGCAAAAUUCUUCUCCAACUCUAGAAUUGCAAGACUCCAGAAUGAUAUAUCCGGAUUCACUCAGAAGCAAAAUGAAACCUUCUGUGAAGCUUGGGAACGCUUUAAGGGUUAUCAAACCAAAUGCCCUCAUCACGGAUUUAAGCAAGCUUCUCUUCUCAGCACACUCUAUAGAGGCGUCUUACCUAAGAUAAGGAUGCUGCUUGACACCACUUCAAAUGGGAAUUUCCUGAAGAAGGAUGUUGAAGAAGGGUGGGAGCUAGUUGAAAACUUCGCUUAGUCGGAUGGUAAUUAUAAUGAAGAUUAUGACAGAAGCAUCCGCACCAGUUCUGACUCUGAUGACAAGAACCGUAGAGACAUGAAAGCUCUCAAUGACAAACUAGACAAAAUCCUCCAAGUACAGCAGAAACAUGUUCAACUCAUCUCUUAAGAUGAACCAUUCCAAGUACAAGAGGGGGAGAAUGAUCAGUGUCCUGACAGCUAUGUUCAGAAUCAAGGUGGCUACAACAAGGGGUACAACAAUUACAGACCCAACCCAAAUCUGUCAUACAGAAGCACCAAUACCGCCAACCCUCAGGAUCAAGUCUACCCUCAGCAGCAGCAGAACCAACCCAAACCGUUUGUUCCAUACAACUAAAGCCAAGGGUUUGUUCCAAAGCAGCAGUUUCAAGGAGGAUAUCAACAACAUCAGCCACCACCUGGUUUCACACCACAUCAACAACAAGCACCUGCGCAUCAGAAUUCAGACAUAAUGAAAAUGCUCCAGCAGCUCAUUCAAGGACAAGCCAUAGGAGCAAUGGAAAUCGCUAAGAAGCUUGCUGAAUUAAACAACAAAGUCGACCGACAAGGCGUUGAACUUAACAGCAAGUUUGAAUCACUGAGCACUAGGAUGAGAUAUGUGGAAGGCAUCCUCGCUUCACCAUCUGUUAAUAACAACCUAGGCCAGCUUCCAGGGAAAGCAAUCCAGAACCCUAAGGAGUACGCCACUGCUCACGCCAUCACUAUUUGCCAUGAUCGAGAGCUGCCAACUCGACAUGCCUCAACCUCUAUCACUAGGGACAGUGAAGUUCAAGAAGGGGAGGAUUUAGUUCAGAAUGAAAUUCCAGCUGAAAUAGCAAUAGAGGAGCCCAUACUCGAUCGCAGUACUCGAUCGCAAGCUCAAGCAGUACUUUCUUCUGUUAAAACGCCUGUCUCUGCUAAAACCAAGGAUAAAGUCUUUGUUCCUCCACCAUACAAGCCUCCACUACCAUUUCCAGGGAGAUUCAAGAAGCAACUAAUAAAGAAGUAUGAAGCUCUCCUUGAAAAACAAUUGAAGAACCUUGAAAUCACAAUGCCUCUAGUAGACUGUCUUGCGCUAAUAUCGAACUCACACAAGCGUGUGAAGGACAUGAUGACAGAGAGGAUCAAAGAAGUUCAAGGAACUGUGGCGUUAACUCACAAGUGUAGUGCAAUCAUCCAGAAGAAUAUUGUUCAAGAAAAGUUGGAAGAUCCGGGAUCUUUUACUCUACCAUGCUCUAUUAGGCAACUGGCUUUCAGCAACUGUCUAUGUUAUCUAGGAGCUUCAGUCAGCCUAAUGCCACUUUCUAUGGCAAAGAAGCUGGGAUUUGUCAAAUAUAAGUCGUGCGACCUAUCUUUGAUCCUUGCUGAUAGGACCUUAAGAAAACCCUAUGGCCUACUAGAAGAUAUGCCUAUCAAGAUUAAUGGAGUAGAAGUACAGACUUUGUUGUGCUUGAGAUGGAUGAAGAACCUAAGGAUCCUCUGAUGCUAAGAACACCUUUCUUGGCCUCAGUUGGAGCGGUGAUAGACGUCAAAGAUGGAAAGAUUAAUCUCAAUCUUGGGAAGGAUAUAAGGUUAGUGUUUGACAUCAGCAAAGCUCCAAGAAGAUCAACCAUAAAGGGACAGACCUUUAGGGUCCAAGGAGUGGUUACAAAAGAUGGAUUUGAGACUGAAAGAGUAAAGGAACGAAGUUUAGCUCCAACACGACCUUCAAGCUCAACCACUCAAUCUAGUACGCUCUGUGUAGUUGAUUGACCAGAACUUAAAAGGAAGUCUGAUCUCCAAGAAGAAACCAUCCAGAAGCUAGCUUGCACUGUUGAGGAAUUUAGGGAUAAAGUGAGUCGGAUGCAAAGGGAAGCUAUUCAACCUCAACUUGGCAUUGAAACUAUAUCAAAGAAGAAAUUUGUUUCAGAAUGGUCUGAAGAAGAAGACUACCAACAAGCAAUAAAAGAAGAUUACAAGGAAAGGGCCAUUGAAUACUCAAUUAUAAACCUGUCAAGAGAGCAUGCUAAGUCCAAUGUUGCAUCUGCUAAGGAAGAACAAAAGAUUUCAAUUCUUCUCUAUCACCCUCCUUAAGCCUAAUGAGUGUGAGGAGUCAAACUAGAGACUUAAAACAAGCUCACUUGGGAGGAAGUCCCAUGAUUAUCCUUGUAAAUAAUUUUUCUUUCUUGUUAUUUUUGAUUUGUUUUGGUUGUGUUUGUGGUUCUCAGGAAUAGAGAAGUAACCUGGAGAUAGAGUAAAAAUUCAAAAUUUUUACUCCAUCUCAUAGGUGGAGAUCGAGUAUCCCGCGCCAACGGAGGAGGAACAAUAACAAGGUCCCACUAUUCCAUGGGAUUACACCAGAGAGGAGAUGGACGACUACGUCUCCAAAGCCUUCAACUGAGGUACCACAAACAACCAUCAUUGUAUAUACCAUUUUUUGUUUUCGUUUUCUUUUAGUGUCUCUUGAACUCUUCUUUAGACUUCUACUACACAAGGGACUGUGUAGUUUAAGUUUGGGGGAGGAUUCAAGAAGUAUUUAACAUGUUUUCUAGUGAGUCUUAUUUGCAUCAUUUGAGUCUUAACUUCAUCUAAGGCAUAGAAAAAACCAAAAAAAUUGAGAAAAUUUCUGAAAAAUGUAUUCCACAAAAACAAAGUGUUCAUAUAGUUGCAUCACAUUUAGGAUUGAGUCUAUGAUGUUUCAUAUAGGAUUGUCGCAUAUGCAUUGGGGAUUAUGAUGAGAUAGCUUUGUAAGCAUUUUGGUUCAUUGUUGCUAGUUGUCUGAUGCGUAGUCAAUGAAAUUGAAGUAAAACUACACCAUGUCUUGAAUGCUCUACUCGAUUACACUGUUAUUAUCUGAUACCAUUCCCUAUCAAUUUGAACCUGAAUCUGACUUGCAAUUAUAAUGUCUUAGCAUCGAAUUUGAAUUAAAUUUUUCACCACCCUUGCUAACCCCAGUAGCUGCUUCCAUCAUUGAAGUAGUUUCCCUUGCCCUUAACCAAACCUUUCUUUUGAGCCCUAUUAUAUAUCGUGUGUGAUUGUGAGGCCUGUUUCGGGAUUGAGCUUGGAAGAAAGUGUUAGGUUUGAGCCGACAAGAGUAGUGUCUCAUGUAGUUCUAGUCCACGUUUUCUGGGCUAGAUAUGACUAGGUGGGUGUCUAUUCUUGAAGAGGGGAUCGAGUAUAUGAGAAAAAUAAGAGAAAAAGGAAAUGUUGAUGUUUUUAGGAGAAGGAAGUUGAGAAACAAGUUAGUCUAGUAAUGGAUUUUGGGGAACUAAAAAAAAUAUAGGCUUUGUAACAACAGAAGAAAAAAGUCUAGAAAAGUCUUGAUCACAAGAAGAUAACAAGAGCCAUAGUUGUCAAAGAAAACCAAAGUCCACUAGAUCCAUCAAAGUAAAAGAAACUUCUCCUUAGAAUAAGAGUCAAAGAAAAGAAAGUGUGGUUUGAUCCAAGAUAAGAAUGAGAAAAAAAAAAUGCCUUGAGUGCAAAGGGUAGAACUAGGAUCAUAUUCUGGGCUUGAGGGUAGUACCAUCUGCUGGUGUAUACACUGUCUAUGUUUUUGGGUAGAUGGGAUACUAUUCUUGUACGCAUAGGUUGGCUCUUACCUUUAACAUUCUCCUAAACCUCAGUCGAUUUCUUUUGAGAGUCCCCUGUUACAGAAGAAAAAAGUCUAGAAAAGUCUUUAUCACCAGUUAUACUCGAUCGCAGAGGAGAAGAACCAAUCCAUCCUGACAGCUGACACACUUACUCGGUCACAGAGGACAAGAAGCAGCCCAGACCAUUCUGUCAACCAACCUACUCGACCACCACCUCGACCCUCUAAUCAAUCCGCACUCAACCAGACAACCUUAGCAUCAGAAAGAGAAGAGAAGAGAAGGCCCAUUCGAAGCCCAUCAGGAAGCCCACUUUGAGUCGAAUCUCUUGAUCACGCCGUCCAUGGGCCGUUAAGUGGGCUCGAAGCCCGCUUUCUUAUCUUAGUAUAAAUAAGUCUGUAAGGGUUUCGCCCUAAGACAUGCACUUUUAGAGACACGAAUUUUGCAUUAUUAUUCAGCAGCCGCUUUUCAUUCUUACAACUUUGUAUUUCGAUUUAUCUUCUAAGUUAUUCAGAUUUUGCUUUCAUUUGCUUGUUCAUCUUUCGUUUCUAUGUUAUUGUCUUUAAGCAUGUUGUCUUAGUAGUUAUUAGGAUUUCUGAGGAUGGGAGAGAGUAGUUGUGGAACCUCUGGUCGAAUAUGUUGGUUAAGUGUAGAUUUAUUGAAUCCCUUCUGGAUUAGUUGUGUUUACUGCUUAUUCCUUUCUGAUCAACUGGAAUCCGAUCCCAGACGUUCCAGCGCCCAGAAGACGUUUAAUGGAACGUUGAAUCUACUAAUUCCAGUGAUAAUCGUCUCUAUCCCAAGGGAUUGGCCGUUUAGAGCGGUUAAUGGCUUUAACAGUCGGCUCUUAUUGCCUGCUUAGUUAGAGAUCGCUAAUGGGAAUUAGGUCAGUGUCUAGCUAUGCUUGAGGAUUUCUAUCACGGGAGUGAAUUAAUUUGUUGUUGAACUUGUUGUCUAGGGAUAGCUUAAUUGAUAUUUGUUAACCAACUGAAUUGAUUAAGGAGACCACACUAUUCGAUUACCCCAUCCUUAGGAAUUUCUCAUCCAAUUGAUUUCUCUGUUUACUUACCUGUUUCAUUCACUUGCUAUUGAAUUUUAUUAUUUUUCUGUUUUCAAUCGUUCUACUCGAUCACACCAGUCUACUAACAGUGAGACUGCGUGAUAGAGUAAACUGGUCCAUUUCUGCAUUUUCACUCUCUGUCAUCCUGUUGUACUCGAUCACAGGGUCCCUUCUGGCAGUCGACCCUGCGAUCGAGUAUAUUAGUCAUUUCUGUCACUUUUUACUGUUUUCUGCAUAAACACUAGGACUGUUAGAAAACCAACCAAAUUCUGCCUGGCUAGACUUAGCAACUUCUGAUCAUAUCUCAUCUGUCUGCAUCACACCCAUUUGGAUUGACACCUAAAAUACUACAACGACAUGAUUAGUGUUUUAUGAUAAUUGAGCAAAAACCUAUUAUUAUAGCCAAAGUCCAUAUGAGUCUUUGGCUUUGUGUCUUCUAACAAGGAUACAAUUCUUACGCCUUUAAGAUCCGGUUACGGUGUAAGUUCUUACACUCAAUCAUACACAUGACAUCAAGUCAUAUUCGACUCCAAAACACUAACCAACCUUCUUCUUGCUUCUCAAAGGUUUCAUGGUGUAGCCAACGUUCAUAUGAGUCUUUGGCUUUGUCUCUUCUAACAAGGAAACACAACUUAGGCUUUUAAGAUCGGGUUUCGGUUUAAGUUGUUAUACUCAAUCAUACACAUGACAUCAAGUCAUAUUCGACUCCAAAAUACUAACCAACCUUCUUCUUGCUUCUCAAAGCAUUCAUUGAGUAGCCAAAGUCCAUAUGAGUCCUUUGUUUUGUGUUUUCUAACAAGGAUACAAUUCUUACGCCUUUAAGAUCCAGUUGCGGUUUAAAUUCUUAUACUCAAUCAUACACAUGACAUCAAGUCAUAUUUGACUCCAAAACACAAACCAACCUUCUUCAGCUUCUCAAAUCUUUCAUGGUAUGGCCAAAGUCCGUAUGAAUCUUCGGCUUUGUGUCUUCUAACAAGGAAACGCUACUUAGGCUUUUAAGAUCGGGUUGCGGUUUAAGUUCUUAUACUCAAUCAUACACAUGACAUCAAGUCAUAUUCAACUCCAAAACACUAACCAAGCUUCUUCUAGAUUCUCAAAGCUUUCAUGGUGUAGCCAAAAUCCGUAUGAGUCUUUGGCUUUGUGUCUUCUAACAAGGAUACAAUUCUUACGCCUUUAAGAUCCGGUUGCGGUUUAAGUUCUUAUACUCAAUCAUACACAUGACAUCAAGUCAUAUUCGACUCCAAAACACUAACCAACCUUCUUCUUGCUUCUCAAAGCUUNNNNNNNNNNNNNNNNNNNNNNNNNNNNNNNNNNNNNNNNNNNNNNNNNNNNNNNNNNNNNNNNNNNNNNNNNNNNNNNNNNNNNNNNNNNNNNNNNNNNNNNNNNNNNNNNNNNNNNNNNNNNNNNNNNNNNNNNNNNNNNNNNNNNNNNNNNNNNNNNNNNNNNNNNNNNNNNNNNNNNNNNNNNNNNNNNNNNNNNNNNNNNNNNNNNNNNNNNNNNNNNNNNNNNNNNNNNNNNNNNNNNNNNNNNNNNNNNNNNNNNNNNNNNNNNNNNNNNNNNNNNNNNNNNNNNNNNNNNNNNNNNNNNNNNNNNNNNNNNNNNNNNNNNNNNNNNNNNNNNNNNNNNNNNNNNNNNNNNNNNNNNNNNNNNNNNNNNNNNNNNNNNNNNNNNNNNNNNNNNNNNNNNNNNNNNNNNNNNNNNNNNNNNNNNNNNNNNNNNNNNNNNNNNNNNNNNNNNNNNNNNNNNNNNNNNNNNNNNNNNNNNNNNNNNNNNNNNNNNNNNNNNNNNNNNNNNNNNNNNNNNNNNNNNNNNNNNNNNNNNNNNNNNNNNNNNNNNNNNNNNNNNNNNNNNNNNNNNNNNNNNNNNNNNNNNNNNNNNNNNNNNNNNNNNNNNNNNNNNNNNNNNNNNNNNNNNNNNNNNNNNNNNNNNNNNNNNNNNNNNNNNNNNNNNNNNNNNNNNNNNNNNNNNNNNNNNNNNNNNNNNNNNNNNNNNNNNNNNNNNNNNNNNNNNNNNNNNNNNNNNNNNNNNNNNNNNNNNNNNNNNNNNNNNNNNNNNNNNNNNNNNNNNNNNNNNNNNNNNNNNNNNNNNNNNNNNNNNNNNNNNNNNNNNNNNNNNNNNNNNNNNNNNNNNNNNNNNNNNNNNNNNNNNNNNNNNNNNNNNNNNNNNNNNNNNNNNNNNNNNNNNNNNNNNNNNNNNNNNNNNNNNNNNNNNNNNNNNNNNNNNNNNNNNNNNNNNNNNNNNNNNNNNNNNNNNNNNNNNNNNNNNNNNNNNNNNNNNNNNAAGCUUUGAGAAGCAAGAAGAAGGUUGGUUAGUGUUUUAAAGUCGAAUAUGACUUGAUGUCAUGUGUAUGAUUGAGUAUAAGAACUUAAACCGCAACCGGAUCUUAAAGGCGUAAGAAUUGUAUCCUUAUUAGAAGACACAAAGCCAAAGACUCAUAUGGACUUUGGCUACACCAUGAAAGCUUUGAGAAGCAAGAAGAAGGUUGGUUAGUGUUUUAAAGUCAAAUAUGACUUGAUGUCAUGUGUACGAUUGAGUAUAAGAACUUAAACCGCAACCGGAUCUUAAAGGCGUAAGAAUUGUGUCCUUGUUAGAAGACACAAAGCCAAAGACUCAUGUGGACUUUGGCUACACCAUAAAAGCUUUGAGAAGCAAGAAGAAGGUUGGUUAGUGUUUUAAAGUCGAAUAUGACUUGAUGUCAUGUGUAUCAUUGAGUAUAAGAACUUAAACCGCAACCAGAUCUUAAAGGCGUAAGAGAUGUAUCCUUGUUAGAAGACACAAAGCCAAAUACUCAUAUGGACUUUGGCUACACCAUGAAAGCUUUGAGAAGCAAGAAGAAGGUUGGUUAGUGUUUUGGAGUCGAAUAUGACUUGAUGUCAUGUGUAUGAUUGAGUAUAACAACUUAAACCGCAACCCGAUCUUGUAAGCCUAAGUAGUGUAUCGUUGUUAGAAGACACAAAGCCAAAGACUCAUAUGGACUGUGGCUACACCAUGAAAGCUUUGAGAAGCAAGAAGAAGGUUGGUUAGUGUUUUGGAGUCGAAUAUGACUUGAUGUCAUGUGUAUGAUUGAGUAUAAGAACUUAAACCGCAACCUGAUCUAUAAGCCUAAGUAGUGUAUCCUUGUUAGAAGACACAAAGCCAAAGACUCAUAUUGACUUUGGCUACACCAUGAAAACUUUGAGAAGCAAGAAGAAGGUCGGUUAGUGUUUUGGAGUCGAAUAUGACUCGAUGUCAUGUGUAUGAUUGAGUAUAANAAANNNNNNNNNNNNNNNNNNNNNNNNNNNNNNNNNNNNNNNNNNNNNNNNNNNNNNNNCUUAAACCGCAACCUGAUCUAUAAGCCUAAGUAGUGUAUCCUUGUUAGAAGACACAAAGCCAAAGACUCAUAUUGACUUUGGCUACACCAUGAAAACUUUGAGAAGCAAGAAGAAGAUUGGUUAGUGUUUUGGAGUCGAAUAUGACUUGAUGUCAUGUGUAUGAUUGAGUAUAAGAACUUAAACCGCAACCGGAUCUUAAAGGCGUAAGAAUUGUAUCCUUGUUAGAAGACACAAAGCCAAAGACUCAUAUGGACUUUGGCUACACGAUGAAAGCUUUGAGAAGCAAGAAGAAGGUUGGUUAGUGUUUUGGAGUCGAUUAUGACUUGAUGUCAUGUGUAUGAUUGAGUGUAAGAACUUAAACCGCAAGCCGAUCUUAAAGGCGUAAGAAUUGUAUCCUUGUUAGAAGACACAAAGCCAAAGACUCAUAUGGACUUUGGCUACGCCAUGAAAGCUAUGAGAAGCAAGAAGAAGGUUGGUUAGUGUUUUGGAGUCGAAUAUGACUUGAUGUCAUGUGUAUGAUUGAGUAUAAGAACUUAAACCGCAACCCGAUCUUAAAGGCGUAAGAAUUGUAUCCUUGUUAGAAGACACAAAGCCAAAGACUCAUAUGGACUUUGGCUACACCAUGAAAGCUUUGAGAAGCAAGAAGAAGGUUGGUUAGUGUUUUGGAGUCAAAUAUGACUUGAUGUCAUGUGUAUGAUUGAGUAUAACAACUUAAACCGCAACCCGAUCUUGUAAGCCUAAGUAGUGUAUCCUUGUUAGAAGACACAAAGCCAAAGACUCAUAUGGACUUUGGCUACACCAUGAAAGCUUUGAGAAGCAAGAAGAAGGUUGGUUAGUGUUUUAAAGUCGAAUAUGACUUGAUGUCAUGUGUAUGAUUGAGUAUAAGAACUUAAACCGCAACCGGAUCUUAAAGGCGUAAGAAUUGUAUCCUUGUUAGAAGACACAAAGCCAAAGACUCAUAUGGACUUUGGCUACACCAUGAAAGCUUUGAGAAGCAAGAAGAAGGUUGGUUAGUGUUUUGGAGUCGAAUAUGACUUGAUGUCAUGUGUAUGAUUGAGUAUAAGAACUUAAACCUCAACCCGGUCUUAAAGGCGUAAGAAUUGUAUCCUUGUUAGAAGACACAAAGCCAAAGACUCAUAUGGACUUUGGCUACACCAUGAAAGCUUUGAGAAGCAAGUAGAAGGUUGGUUAGUGUUUUGGAGUCGAAUAUGACUUGAUGUCAUGUGUAUGAUUGAGUAUAACAACUUAAACCACAACCCGAUCUUGUAAGCCUAAGUAGUGUAUCCUUGUUAGAAGACACAAAGCCAAAGACUCAUAUGGACUUUGGCUACACCAUGAAAGCUUUGAGAAGCAAGAAGAAGGUUGGUUAGUGUUUUGGAGUCAAAUAUGACUUGAUGUCAUGUGUAUGAUUGAGUAUAACAACUUAAACCGCAACCCGAUCUUGUAAGCCUAAGUAGUGUAUCCUUGUUAGAAGACACAAAGCCAAAGACUCAUAUGGACUUUGGCUACACCAUGAAAGCUUUGAGAAGCAAGAAAAAGGUUGGUUAGUGUUUUAAAGUCGAAUAUGACUUGAUGUCAUGUGUAUGAUUGAGUAUAAGAACUUACACCGCAACCGGAUCUUAAAGGCGUAAGAAUUGUAUCCUUGUUAGAAGACACAAAGCCAAAGACUCAUAUGGACUUUGGCUACACCAUGAAAGCUUUGAGAAGCAAGAAGAAGGUUGGUUAGUGUUUUGGAGUCGAAUAUGACUUGAUGUCAUGUGUAUGAUUGAGUAUAAGAACUUAAACCGCAACCCGAUCUUGUAAGCCUAAGUAGUGUAUCCUUGUUAGAAGACACAAAGCCAAAGACUCAUAUUGACUUUGGCUACACCAUGAAAGCUUUGAGAAGCAAGAAGAAGGUUGUUUAGUGUUUUAAAGUCGAAUAUGACUUGAUGUCAUGUGUAUCAUUGAGUAUAAGAACUUAAACCGCAACCCGAUCUUGUAAGCCUAAGUAGUGUUGCCUUGUUAGAAGACACAAAGCCAAAGACUCAGAUGGACUUUGGCUACUCCAUGAAAGCUUUAAGAAGCAAGAAGAAGGUUGGUUAGUGUUUUGGAGUCGAAUAUGACUUGAUGUCAUGUGUAUGAUUGAGUAUAAGAACUUAAACCGCAACCCGAUCUUAAAGGCGUAAGAAUUGUAUCCUUGUUAAAAGACACAAAGCCAAAGACUCAUAUGGACUUUGGCUACACCAAGAAAGCUUUGAGAAGCAAGAAGAUGGUUGGUUAGUGUUUUGGAGUCGAAUAUGACUUGAUGUCAUGUGUAUGAUUGAGUAUAAGAACUUAAACCGCAACGCGAUCUUAAAGGCGUAAGAAUUGUAUCCUUGUUAGAAGACACAAAGCCAAAGACUCAUAUGGACUUUGGCUACACCAUGAAAGCUUUGAGAAGCAAGAAGAAGGUUGGUUAGUGUUUUGGAGUCGAAUAUGACUUGAUGUCAUGUGUAUGAUUGAGUAUAAGAACUUAAACCGCAACCCGAUCUUGUAAGCCUAAGUAGUGUAUCCUUGUUAGAAGACACAAAGUCAAAGACUCAUAUGGACUUUGGCUACACCAUGAAAGCUUUGAGAAGCAAGAAGAAGGUUGGUUAGUGUUUUGGAGUCAAAUAUGACUUGAUGUCAUGUGUAUGAUUGAGUAUAACAACUUAAACCGCAACCCGAUCUUGUAAGCCUAAGUAGUGUAUCCUUGUUAGAAGACACAAAGCCAAAGACUCAUAUUGACUUUGGCUACACCAUGAAAGCUUUGAAAAGCAAGAAGAAACUCCGUAGUUAAGCGUGCUUAGGCGAGAGUAGUACUAGGCCGGGUGACCUCCCGGACAGUCCUCGUGUUGCAUCCCUCUUUUCUUUUUCGGUUUUUCUCUAUUUUGUUUUGUUAAAAUUGUAUGACUCUAUAACUUUUAGACCGUGAGGCCAAACUUCGCAUGUGAUACCUUUUCGGAAAGCCCAAAGAGAGCUCUCCGAUGAAUGAGGAAGGAAAAUGGAAUUCUUCUAUUGGUUUUUUUUCUAUUCCAAAUUUUGACCUUAAUGUACUUUUUUGGGCCUUUUCGUGAUCUUUGCUAUAUUACGGGGCAAAAUUAUAUGUUCGGACAUUGUUUUCGAAUAUUUUGCAUGUAUCAAAGCUCUUAGAAACAAGAUAUGGUAUUCCUACAUGGCUGGUGUGACCCACGGCAAAUGGAUCAUAAAGUCUUUAAAAAAAGAAUAUAUACGAUUGCAUUGCAUGUAAUAACGGAUGCGAUCAUACCAGCACUAAUGCACCAGAUCCCAUUAAAACUCCGCAGUUAAGCAUACUUGGGCGAGAGUAGUAGUAGGAUGGGUGACCUCCCGGAAAGUACUCGUGUUGCAUCCCUCUUUUCUUUUUUUUUGUUAAAAAUGUACGACUUUAUAACUUUUAGACCAUGAGGCCAAACUUGGAAUGUGAUACCUUUUCGGAAAGCCCAAAGAGAGCUCUCCUAUGAAUGAGGAAAGAAAAUGGAAUUCUUCUAUUGGUUUUUUAUUCUACUCCAAAUUUUGACCUUAAUGUACUUUUUUGGUCUUUUUCGUGAUCUUUGCUAUAUGACAGGGCGAAAAUUAUAUGAUCGUACAUUGUUUUCGAAUAUUUUGCAUGUAUCAAAGCUCUGAUAAACAAGAUAGGGUAUUCCUACAUAGCUGGUGGGAGCCACGGCAAAUGGAUCUUAAAGUCUUCAAAAAAGAAUACAUACGAUUGCAUUGCAUGUAGUAACGGAUGCGAUCAUACCAGCACUAAUGCACCAGAUCCCAUCAGAACUCCGCAGUUAAGCGUGCUUGGGCGAGAGUAGUACUAGGAUAGGGGACCAACCAGAAAGUCCUCGUGGUGCAUCCCACUUUUUCUUUCGGUUUUUCUCUAUUUUGUUUUGUUAAAAAUGUAUGACUCUAUAACGUUUAGACCGUGAGGCAAAACUUGGAAUGUGAUACCUUUUCGGAAAGCCCAAAGAGAGCUCUCCGAUAAAUGAGGAAGGAAAAUGGAAUUCUUCUAUUGGUUUUUUAUUCUACUCCAAAUUUUGACCUUAAUGUACUUUUUUGGUCUUUUUGGUGAUCUUUGCUAUAUGACAGGGCGAAAAUUAUAUGAUCGGACAUUGUUUUCGAAUAUUUUGCAUGUAUCAAAGCUCUUAUAAACAAGAUAGGGUAUUCCUACAUAGCUGGUGGGAGCCACGGCAAAUGGAUCUUAAAGUCUUCAAAAAAAGAAUAGAUACGAUUGCAUUGGAUGUAGUAAACGGAUGCGAUCAUACCAGCACUAAUGCAACGGAUCCCAUCAAAACUCCGCAGUUAAGCGUGCUUGGGCGAGAGUAGUACUAGGCUGGGUGACCUCCCGGACAGUCCUCGUGUUGCAUCCCUCUUUUCUUUUUCGGUUUUUCUCUAUUUUGUUUUGUUAAAAUUGUAUGACUCUAUAACUUUUAGACCGUGACGCCAAACUUCGCAUGUGAUACCUUUUCGGAAAGCCCAAAGAGAGCUCUCCGAUGAAUGAGGAAGGAAAAUGGAAUUCUUCUAUUGGUUUUUUUGCUAUUCCAAAUUUUGACCUUAAUGUACUUUUUUGGUCCUUUUCGUGAUAUUUGCUAUAUUACAGGGCAAAAAUUAUAUGAUCGGACAUUGUUUUCGAAUAUUUUGCAUGUAUCAAAGCUCUUAUAAACAAGAUAUGGUAUUCCUACAUGGCUGGUGUGACCCACGACAAAUGGAUCAUAAAGUCUUAAAAAAAAAGAUAGAUACGAUUGCAUUGCAUGUAGUAAACGGAUGCGAUCAUACCAGCACUAAUGCACCGGAUCCCAUCAAAACUACGCAGUUAAGCGUGCUUGGGCGAGAGUAGUACUAGGCUGGGUGACCUCCCGGAUAGUCCUCGUGUUGCAUCCCUCUUUUCUUUUUCGGUUUUUCUCUAUUUUGUUUUGUUAAAAUUGUAUGACUCUAUAACUUUUAGACCGUGAGGCCAAACUUUGCAUGUGAUACCUUUUCGGAAAGCCCAAAGAGAGCUCUCCGAUGAAUGAGGAAGGAAAAUGGAAUUCUUCUAUUGUUUGUUUUUUCUAUUCCAAAUUUUGACCUUAAUGUACUUUUUCGGGCUUUUUCGUGAUCUUUGCCAUAUUACGGGGCGAAAUUAUAUGUUCGGACAUUGGUUUUGAAUAUUUUGUAUGUAUCAAAGCUCUUAUAAACAAGAUAUGGUAUUCCUACAUGGCUGGCGUGACCCACAGCAAAUGGAUCAUAAAGUCUUCAAAAAAAGAAUAUAUACGAUUGCAUUGCAUGUAGUAACGGAUGCGAUCACACCAGCACUAAUGCACCAGAUCCAAUUAAAACUCCGCAGUUGAGCAUACUUGGGCGAGAGUAGUACUAGGAUGGGUGACCUCCCGGAAAGUCCUCGUGUUGCAUCCCUCUUUUCUUUUUUUUGUUAAAAAUGUACGACUUUAUAACUUUUAGACCAUGAGGCCAAACUUGGAAUGUGAUACCUUUUCGGAAAGCCCAAAGAGAGCUCUCCUAUGAAUGAGGAAAGAAAAUGGAAUUCUUCUAUUGGUUUUUUAUUCUACUCCAAAUUUUGACCUUAAUGUACUUUUUUGGUCUUUUUCGUGAUCUUUGCUAUAUGACAGGGCGAAAAUUAUAUGAUCGGACAUUGUUUUCGAAUAUGUUGCAUGUAUCAAAGCUCUUAUAAACAAGAUAGGGUAUUCCUACAUAGCUGGUGGGAGCCACGGCAAAUGGAUCUUAAAGUCUUCCAAAAAAGAAUAGAUACGAUUGCAUUGCAUGUAGUUAACGGAUGCGAUCAUACCAGCACUAAUGCAACGGAUCCCAUCAAAACUCCGCAGUUAAGCGUACUUGGGCAAGAGUAGUACUAGGAUGGGGGACCUACCAGAAAGUCCCCGUGGUGCAUCCGACUUUUUCUUUCGGUUUUUCUCUAUUUUGUUUUGCUAAAAAUGUAUGAUUCUAUAACGUUUAGACCGUCAGGCCAAACUUGGCAUGUGAUACCUUUUCGGAAGCCCAAAGAGAGCUCUCCGAUGAAUGAGGAAGCAAAAUGGAAUUCUUCUAUUGUUUUUUUUUUCUAUUCCAAAUUUUGAGCUUAAUGUACUUUUUCGGGCCUUUUCGUGAUCUUUGCUAUAUUACGGGGCGAAAAUUAUAUGUUUGGACAUUGUUUUCGAAUAUUUUGCAUGUAUCAAAGCUCAGAUAAACAAGAUAGGGUAUUCCUACAUACCUGGUGGGACCCACGGCAAAUGGAUAGUAAAAUCUUCAAAAAAGAAUAGAUACUAUUGCAUUGCAUGUAGUAAUGGAUGCGAUCAUAUCAGCACUAACGCACCGGAUCCCAUCAAAACUCCACAGUUAAGCGUGUUUGGGCGAGAGUAGUACUAGGAUGGGGGACCUACCAAAAAGUCCUCGUGGUGCAUCCCACUUUUUCUUUCGGUUUUUCUCUAUUUUGUUUUGUUAAAAAUGUAUGACUCUAUAACGUUUAGACCGUCAGGCCAAACUUGGCAUGUGAUACCUUUUCGGAAAGCCCAAAGAGAGCUCUCCGAUGAAUGAGGAAGCAAAAUGAAAUUCUUCUAUUGUUUUUUUUUCUAUUCCAAAUUUUGACCUUAAUGUAGUUUUUCGGGCCUUUUCGUGAUCUUUGCUAUGUUCGGACAUUGUUUUCGAAUAUUUUUCAUGUAUCAAAGCUCUUAUAAACAAGAUAUCGUAUUCCUACAUGGCUGGUGUGACCCACGACAAAUGGAUCAUAAAGUUUUCAAAAAAGAAUAGAUACGAUUGCAUUGCAUGUAGUAAACGGAUGCGAUCAUACCAGCACUAAUGCACCGGAUCCCAUCAAAACUCUACACUUAAGCGUGCUUGGGAGAGAGUAGUACUAGGAUGGGUGACCUCCAAGAAAGUCCUCGUGUUGCAUCCCUCUUUUCUUUUUUCGGUUUUUCUCUAUGUUUUUUUGUUAAAAUUGUAUGACUCUUUAACUUUUAGACCGUGAGGCCAAACUUCGCAUGUGAUACCUUUUCAGAAAGCCCAAAGAGAGCUCUCCGGUGAAUGAGGAAGGAAAAUUGAAUUUUUCUAUUGGUUUUUUUUUCUACUCCAAAUUUUGACGUUAAUGUACUUUUUGGGGCCUUUUCGUGAUCUUUGCUAUAUUACGGAGCGAAAAUUAUAUGUUUGGACAUUGUUUUCGAAUAUUUUGCAUGUAUCAAAGCUCUGAUAAACAAGAUAGGGUAUUCCUACAUAGCUGGUGGGACCCACGGCAAAUGGAUCGUAAAGUCUUCGAAAAAGAAUAGAUACGAUUGCAUUGCAUGUAGUAACGGAUGCGAUCAUACCAGCACUAACGCACCGGAUCCCAUCAAAACUGUGCAGUUAAGCGUGUUUGGGCGAGACUAGUACUAGGAUGGGUGACCUCACGG